GUGGGGAGAGUACUUGAUCUGAAGUCUAAGUCGUUAACGGAUAUGAUAUGGGAAGGUUGAGCUGCCGUUUAUCUGUUCCUAGAGAUGCUAGAAUUCUGGAGAACUUUAUCUUUGAAAAUCUUUAAAAUGUUGCAUGAUGAGUUCCUGUAUGAUGAGAGUUUAAAUUCCUACCACAGCCAUAUAUACAUGCUUGCUAAACUUUGAGCCACACAUUUACUUUACUGCUUAUGAGCAUUGAGUGUGAUCAAGCUGUGUAGACCGUUAGGAGCUUGUCAUGUGGUUAAAUCAAGAUUCACUUGCACGUUCACUCACACAUGCUGCUUCUACUCCGAAAGUACGCAUCCACAUACAUCCAUCCAUUUCCAUCUCCAGAAUCACCCAAAAAUAUUCUACUCUUAUCUAGGAGAGAAUAGCCAAAAAUAAUAUCCUAUCCCUGUUAUUCCUCGUGAAAUAAAUGCUCGAGAUAUUUUGGUUACUACCACUUGCUACAUUAUUCUAGGAGGAUGAGUGCUCUGAAAAAAAGUGAAUACGAGGAAAUAAAAAGGGGCAAGUGCUCGGAACCUCGAAGAAAAGAAAAAGUGAGACGAGAGGUAAAAAUGGACAAGUGUCCGACAGUAGAAUUAGGGGUACAAGAUACCCACCUGAGAGAAAAGAAAAAAAAGAGAAAAUAUAGAGCAUCUCAUUCCCCUCAAAAAGCUUCAAAGUGCAAGAAAGGUAUGUAUCCCCUCAAAAGAGCAAACGUAGAAUUAGACUUCCACCAUUGUUAUCACCAUCAUCACCACUGUUAUCACCAUUCAUUCGCCACACAUGCAUAUCUUGAUUUGACGUAUUGACUUGAUCUUCUGGAUCCAUGGUUUGACUAUGCAAUAAAUGUCUUGUAACUAUGUAUUAGCUGUCUCCCACCUAUGAGGUCCAGAUAUCAAAAGCCUUAUUAGAGUAGGGUGAGAGAGAAGGCAAUGCCACUAUGCCUCAUACCAAAAAUACCACAUACUUUGAGAGAAGGCAUACACCUUUAUUGCCAUGGUAAGGAUCCAGAAAUACCAUAAAAGAGAGACUAGAGAGAGUCAUACAAGGAAUCUCUGAGUUUAAUUUGAAAAUCUGCAAAAACUCCAGAGCUAUAGUUAAUCAAAGAACAAGAGACGUGGCGCUUGACUAGAACGUUCUAUCUUUUAACUGCUCAAGACACAAGUGAUGGUUGCAAGCCUCAUGGUGGAAGGUAAAAUGAGUAAGUUUAAGUCUUAACAGUUUACCCUAACCGAGAGAUGAGAAUUUUGUUUCAACGCAUGUGUAUCUUUAAGGCAUGAAACCACUGCAGAAACUCUUGAGUCCAUCUUUGCUCACGGACGAGCAAAGGUUAAGCUUGGGGGAGCUUGUUGACUGUCCUUAAUGCUCACAUUUAACCAUCAACUAAUCAUGCAAAAGGAUCCAAAUGCAACCAACACCCAGACUUAGGGUUUUAUCUGAUAGAAUUCCAUGAGUUUUGGUGUUUGUCUAUUUCUGCAGGGGGUUAUCAGAAAAUACGGAAGAAAGGCCCACACGUCGGGUUUACAUAGAGAUAUUAACGUCCCACGCAAUUUUCUAUCAACUAGAAGACUCCAGAAGCCACGGGAACAAAGCGGAAGCCUAGAGGGCUUAGGGACAGGGCUGCCGCCCUAGUCCUCAGGGCGCCCGCCCUCCUAUUCUGCCCAAAAAGGGUACAACUCAGGGAUCAUGCUCCACCGACCUAAAGGAUCAAGGAAAACCGUGCGAUUAAUGUCGGUUUGAUCCGACGGCCUAGAUUCAUCUGAAAAGACUAUAUAAGCAAGGCCCCCUAGCACCUAGAGAGCAUACCUCUUCUACAGAAUCAAAGUUAGGGUUUCAAUUCUUCAUCCAAGUAGAGAGGAUCCCUCUAGUUCAUCUAGUUCUAGUUCUAGUUCAUCUAGUUCUAGUUCAUCUAGUUCUGGUUCCUCUAGUUCUAGUUCUAGUUAGUUCUAGUUGUAAUCUAGAAAAUAGGGACAGAGAAGAGGAGAGCGGAGGAGGAGCCAGAUCUGUCAGAUCUUCCUCAACAUUGUACUUUUGCAGCAACUGGUUUGUUCUUCAUCGUUCUCUUGGUUCUUCAAUUCACAAUUCCUGAGUUCUUUAAUUACUUUUAUUUACAUUCAAGUUAUUUAUUGGAUUCCCGCUUGCAUCAAGUGCUCUAAUCUUUGAAACAUUAGAGUAGUAAUUAAUAGAUUAGACGUGGUGUUUAGUCUUGCAAUUACCUGGAAUUGCACCCAAUCCUGCGGAUUGUUGUGGUAGCCCUAGGGUAGUGACAGCCCUAACGGUCGACGUAUUCCACCUCGUUUGAAUCGGUGUUUGUAGGACCGUAGUCAGAGCUUCAUAGCCCCCUUCUCAUCUCUUUCUGUGGUUAGUGUUAUGAUGUCCCGAAAUACAUAAUCUUGAGGUAAUUCUUGAUUCUUAGAUCAACUAGAGAACUCUCAAGAAACUUCCUCUCUUCCCACCAAAAAUAAUUAUAUAGUUAUCCUUGGGCGAUCUUGGAUCUUAAUUAGUACACUCACGUUCUCUGUGGAAAAUCGAUACUCUAGAAUACUCCCGGGUGAAAGCUACAUCGGUAUCCGUGCGCUUGUGGAUUUUUCUGUUUGCGUUUAAAAUACCCAACAACAGCACACCGGACGCUAAAGGCCAGUGUUCGGUGAGUGUUUUCUCACUGAGAAACACUCCCGCGACUUUUCCAAAAUUUCCCACCGGCGCAAUAGAAAAUAUACACUUAUUUUUCUCAAAAGCGCCGAAUCCCUAACCCUAGGAACUCCACCUCCUUUGCAAAAGUGCUAACACCAACAAGUGUCCACCACCAAAGUGCAUGUGUGUUAGCUUUUCACAAACAUUUUCCCAAAGGAGUUAAGUUAGCAUUUUACUAGAUCCUAAUGCAUAUGCUCAAGAUGUAGACCUAGUAGCACUUGAUUAGAGAGAUAACCGUGAUUUUCCCUCUUGAUAGUCGGCUAUCUAUCUUAAACACGGUCAAUCACUUCUCUACUCAUCUUAGACUGGCAAAAGUAAAACCCUAUGUUUAUACCUUUGCCUUGAUAACUUUGCUCCUCGUAUAUCACCAUGAUCUUCACUUCAUGCUUCAUCCCUUUGUGAUCAUGUGGCCACCUUUCCAUGCCUCCAUGCACCUUCAUCACAUGUGUUGCUAUGCCUAACUCAAAUCACUUAAACACAAGGCGUUAACAACUUGGUGUCAUUAAUUACCAAAACCAAACUUGGGCUUUCAAUCUCCACUUUUUUGGUAAUUGAUGACAACCAUCACAAAGAUAUGAAAUGAAAACAUAAGGAACUUGAAUUGUUUGUCCAAAGCAUUUUAAUCAUGAGACAAGGUUGGACAAACAUUUCAAUUUCGGUUUUGGUAGUACUAGCUUCCCCUACAUAUGUCCUUCCAUGAGUUUGGUUCAGGUUUGCACAUAUGCAUGAAUUGGAAUUUUGGGAGAUUUAUUACUACCAAAAUGAUGCUAAGGUAUAUAGAAUGGACCUUUGAAGCUUGAUACCAAUCGGAGUUGCCAAUAUACCAUCCUUAGCACCAAUGUAGCUAGACAUACAUCAAAAACUCAAGAUACCUCGUGAGAUCACAUUAUAUGUCUAGAUAACACAUGAAAAUAAAACUCUAUGCUAGAAUUCAAAGCAUCAUUCAAGUUUUAUUUCUAGCAAGCUCCAAUCAAACAAGAGUUGUGAAUUUAAACUUACAAUGCAACACCUCAUUAUGUUAGUGCACAUACAAAUGCAAAAAAUGGUUCAUGAGCUUGCUCCCCCUAUUUUUGUGCUCAAGUUUUAAUUUUAUCUCUCCCCCUUAAGCACUUUUCUCACCCUUUAUGACUUUAUCUUUGUUUCUCUCCCCCUUUGUCAUCAAUGACCACAAAGGUUCAAAUUUUAGUGAGAAUUAAGUCAAUCAAUGUGAGGGUCAAAUUAUGGUUCAAUCUAGAUCACUUGCCUAGAACAUGUAAUUCGGUUUGAUCCAAGAACAAGCUUUUUCACACCUCAUGAAGUAUACGGGUUAUCUUGACCAUGUUGAAUUACACAUCAUAAGCUUAUAUUCUAGAUUCAACACUAUGCUUGCAAGCUCACAAACAUGUCAUAUGCUACCACUAGAUCAAGCAAUCAUAAAGACAAUAGUGGUACCAUACAUACAUCAAAAUCUUUUGAUUUUCAUGAAUGAGCCAAUUUGUCAUGCAAACAUGUCUAUAUGUUCUAACCAUGUCCUCAGCAAAGUAUGAAUGCUAUGUCAACCAACUUUACCUUGCUUUGUUGAAGGAGAGGCAUGUCAUAUAAAAGUGGGGGUGCACUCAUCUCAAGUUGGAGAAGUCAAGUAUGUUCAAUUCAUUUCUCAACUUGCAAAAUCUCUUCUCAUCAAGUGGCUUUGUGAAGAUGUCGGCUAGUUGAUCUUUGGUGCCGAUGCUUUCAAUGCUAAUAUCACCCUUUUGUUGACGGUCCCUUAUGAAAUGGUGCCUUAUAUCAAUGUGCUUGGUUCUUGAAUGUUGAACUGGACUUUGUGUCAUCUUGAUUGCACUUUCAUUGUCACAUAGCAAAGGCACAUUCUUGAAUUUGAUUCCAAAGUCAUUCAAGGUAGCUUUCAUCCAAAGCAAUUGUGCACAACAACUACCGGCACUAAUGUAUUUGGCUUUGGCCUCGGCAGUUGAUAGUGCAACACUGUUUUGUUUCUUUGAUGACCAUGAAACUAGAGACCUUCCUAGGAAUUGACAAGUGCCACUUGUGCUCAUUCUAUCAAUCUUGCAUCCACCAUAGUCGGAGUCCAAAUAUCCAAUCAACUCAAAGUUUGACCCCUUGGGAUACCAUAAUCCAACAUCAUGAGUGCCCUUAAGAUACCUCAAUAUCCUCUUGGUUGCCUUCAAGUGACUCUCCCUUGGUAAAGCUUGAUAUCUCACACACUUGCUCACACUAAACAUCACAUCCGUCCUUGAUGCGGUGACAUAGAGCAAACUUCCAAUCAUGGACCGAUAUAGCUUUUGAUCUACCAUGUUGCCACUUGCAUCACUACCUAAUUGAUCAUUUGUGCCCAUAGGUGUGCUCAUUGGUUUAGCUUCUUGCAACCCAAACUUCUUGAUCAUGUCCUUGAUGUACUUGCCUUGACUUAUAAAAGUACCAUCCUUCAUUUGCUUGAUUUGAAGACCAAGGAAGUAACUAAGCUCUCCAAUCAUGGACAUCUCAAACUCAUUUGCCAUCAUUCUUCCAAACUCUUCACAAAAGUCUUGAUUGGUUGAUCCAAAGAUGAUAUCAUCAACAUAGAUUUGCAACACAAACAAGUCAUUGCCUAGCUUCUUGGUGAAGAGGGUAGUGUCAACUGUGGACGGUCCUUAAGUAUCAAAUUUAAUUAUCAAAUAAAUAAAGAAAAGGAUCCAAAUGAAAUCAACAUCUAGAUUUAGGGUUUUAUCUGACAGAAUUCCAUGAGUUUUGGUGUUUGUCUAUUUCUGCAGGGGGUUAUCAGGAAAUAUGGAAGAAAGGCCCACACGUCGGGAUUACGUAAAGAUAUUAACGUGCCGCGCAAUUAUCUUACAUCUAGAAGACUCCAGAAGCCACGAGACCGAAGUGGAGGUGAAAUGGGGCCUGACCCUGGGCGCCCGCCCAGUUGGUCAGGGCGCCCGCCCUGCCCCUGAGUCCAAUCAGGACUCUGCUUUGUGGGAGAUUUCCACCGACCUAAAGGAUGAAUCUAAACCGUACAAUCUAUGUCGGUUUGAUCCAAUGGCCCAUAUUCACUUGAAGGGACUAUAAAACCAGACCCCCUGGCCCCUGGAGGAGAGAGCCUCUCAACCCUAAUUCAUUGUUCCAUCAAGGGAGAAGAAGCCUCUGAUCAAGAUUAGAGCCACCACAUCAAUUAGAUAUAUAGAUUAGCAUAGCUACAUAGGAUUAGAACUAGAAGGAGUCAAUCUUCGAUUGGUUUCCAGAUCUGUCAAGAGGAUUCUUGGUAAUUCUCUAAUUGUGCUUCUAAUUGCUUUCUAAUUAUCUUUGUUGUUCAAUAUUAUGAAUAUGACUUUGUUCUACUUCAAUAUAUUGCUUAUGACUUUGCUCUACUUGCUUCUAUUCAAGAUUAUAUUGUUCUUAGUUUAUCAUAGUUAUGUACUUGGCUUAGUUAGAUUGGAUCUAUAUACAUGUUUAGGAUCGUAUAGCGUUUAUCCAUCGGAUCCAUGGGUAAAUGAUAGAUAUUGUGUAGGCGUGGUGCUUAUACCGUAUUUAUCUGCGAUUGUACCCAAUAUGCCAGAUCGUGGGGUGGUUCGUGAUAGUGACAGCUUCAUUGAUUCUUAUAUAGUCCCCCUCUCAUGUAUUGGGCUGGCAGAGCAACAUUAUUACAGGGGAGUGAUUGCUAUGUUUCUCAUAUUCCUUGCUAAUAUCACUAUGCAUGGGCGUAGUCUUGUCUCGCAAUGAUUGCUAAGUAUGCUUGCACUAACUAUGAUAUGCUAGACUAUAUAGUUGAGAAUAACUUAGGGAAUAUUCUUGUAGUUCGUUCUAAUACCAUGCUAAUGACUUUCUAGAGUAUCUAAUUGAGGUGCUUAUCAUAUUUAUUAUGUGGCUAGAUUAGAUUAAUUAUCCUUGUCACUAUUAUUAUUUAAUAUAUCUUUUAUGUGAAACUUAUCCCUGUAUGAAGAGUUAGAUAAAUGUUCUCAAUUAUACAUGCAAUGAUAGAUGCUCAAUCUUAUAUUCUAUUCUGUAAUCAAUAGUGAUGAUUGCUAAUCCCUUCCCAGUGGUAAAAAUAUAAAUAACGAUACCUGGAAUACUUCCCGGUUAAAAUGCUACAUCGGUAUUAAUCUGUGCGCUUGCAGAUCCCAUUCAUUAUUUAUUUAGAAGAGCAAUUGCAUAUUUCAAUACCGCGUCUCUUAUAUCAUGCUGGGGAUGACAACUUGGCUUAAGUGGUGUGAGGGAUAGGUUUGGCAUUUUUGGCACCGUUACUAGAUUUAGAGAACUUAGUCUACUUUUGGUAAUGAUGUUAAGAAUACCCAACAAGCAUUUUUGGCGCCGUUGCCGGGAAAGGUUGAUUACCAAUCAGGAAUGGAAUAAAAGAUUUUGAGUUAUCAUUCGCAUCACUAAUAUGAUUGAGCUUAUCUAUUCUCUCAUACAGUUUUACCCCGAUAUUUUUCUAUUUUAUCUUAUGCAGGGGAAUGUAUGAAUAGAAGACAUCUUCUAGGAAAUUUUGUUGACAAUCCCGAAGCAUUAUUCAAGAAGACGAGAGCCAAGAAGAAAUCAUCAACACUUCACGAAGAAGCUUCAUCCAAUCAAGAAGAUCACCAGAACUUGUCUUCAGAGUUCGAAGCCAUGGCAAACAAAUCAAUCCGCGAGUUCUCAGCUCCCACUACGGACAACAUCCGCACUGGACCUGCUGUAGAGAUCGAUGGCAACUUUGAGCUCAAGCCUGGACUUAUCAACAUGGUGCAAUCAAACCAGUUCUGUGGGAAGGCACACGAAGAUGCUAGUGCUCAUUUACAUCACUUCCUGGAGAUUUGCAACACAUUCACCAUAUCAGGAGUUUCCAAAGACGCUAUACUACUUCGCCUCUUCCCAUUCUCACUGUUAGCAAGAGCGAAGCAGUGGUUCUACGCUACAAAGGAGAAGAAUACUACGUGCGCACUCUGCUCAACAAACUUCCUGGCAAAGUUCAUUCCCAUGGGCAAGACCAAUGCUCUCCGUGGGAAGAUUACAAGUUUUCAGCAACAAAAUGAUGAAUCUGUUCCAGAAGCAUGGGAGCGCUUUCAAGACUACAUCCUAGAAUGUCCCCAUCAUGGAAUGGAGAGUUGGCUACUGAUGCAGACGUUUUAUCAUGGGCUCGGCAACAGUGCCCGAGAGACCAUGGAUGCUGCAGCUGGAGGAGCAUUCUUAUCACUUACUAUACCACAAGCCACAGCUCUUGUGGAGAAGAUGGUGUCCAAUCAAAGCUGGAAUGAAGAGAGGACCCAGACACGCAAGAGAGGCGGAGGUAUGCAUCAGCUGAAGGAGGUAGACAUGCUGUCUGCAAAGCUAGACCUGCUCAUGAAGAAGCUCGACGAUAGAGCUGGAGACAAGAAAGAAGUUAUGCACAUCUACGACUCUCACAUGACUUGUGAGGAGUGUGGAGACACUGGACACUCAGGCAACCACUGCCCUGAGAUGCUUGAGGAUGUGAACUACAUCAACAAUUACAACAACAACUACUACAACCGUUCUCAACAAAAUCAAGGUUGGAAUCAACAGAGGCCUAACUACUCAUGUAAUUAUCAAGGUAACAAUUCUUAUAACAAUACUAAUAAUUUUCCACCUUUGAGAGAGUUAGUGUCUAAUCAAGGUAAGCUAAUGGAUAACCUAUCUAAGAAAUUGGAAUCUAAUGAUAAAAUGCUAGAAAAUAUAAAUAAUAGAAUGGAUAAUUUCUCUACUGCCAUCAAGAAUCAAAUUAGCUUUAAUAAAAUGAUUGAAUCCCAGUUAAAUCAAAUAGCUGCUGCCGUUCCUACUACUAACCCCGGUAUACCAUCACAACCGGAAGGAUUAGAAUCUGCAAAUCUUGUAGACAUGUUUGAUGCAGGUAAUUGGAGUAACCCCGUCACUUAAUUCUCUACUGACCUUAUGCCGGUCAAGAGAGGCGAUCCAGGACGCCCCGUCAUCCCGAUCUCCAUCGGCAUGGUGGACGUUCCAGAAGCACUCUGCGACUUUGGCUCCAGUGUCAACAUUAUACCCAGGGUACUCUAUGAAAAAUUCUUUACAUAUCCUUUAUUAGAAACAACCAUGUGUUUGCAGUUUGCAGAUCAGACGAUAACUUUUCCAAAAGGAAUAUUGAGGAAUCUUUGUGUCCGAGUUGGUACCUUAUAUGCCCCAGCAGACUUCGUAGUGGUAGAGACCGGAAAUGAUGAGAGAGCACCCAUCAUCUUAGGGAGGCCAUUCUUGAACACCACGGGAGCUAUCAUCUACGCUAGUGCUGCCAAGAUCAGUUUCUACGUCAAAGGGGAGAAGGAGACAUUUUUCUUCAAGAACAAGACUACACAAAUUCAAGAUCAAUCCAGACGUAAAUUAAGGAAGAGGACCAACAGGAGAAACAGGAACAAGCAAGUGUGGACCGAGUCAGCUAAGAUGGUCACUGUAGUUCAUGGAGGCCAAGAUCAACAACUUAAGUCACCAUUUGUGACCAAGAAGGACGACCCAGGAAUGCCAAGCAUUUACUGCUCCAUACAUGGAUAUAGCUUCUACAAGACGAUUUGUGUCACCGGAUCGGGCGUCAACAUAAUGGCCGCAGUCACGUAUCGGCUCUUGUUCGGGACCAUGCCACUAAGACCAACAUACAUUCAACUCCAGAUGGCAGAUCAGACAUUCCGAGAAGUCAAAGGAAUAGUAUCUGAUGUCCCAGUCAAAAUAGACGAUCACUUUGUCUACACAGACUUUAAAGUUAUUGAUAUGGGAGAAGAUGAAUACGAUCCACCCAUCAUCCUUGGAAGACCGUUCCUUAGCACCGUCAAAGCAAUUAUCUACAUUGGAACCGGAGAAGUCCAUAUGCACUUCCCCUCAGAGAAGGUACGCCGUUACUUUACUGACCCUAACUAUAUCGUUGAAGAAUCUAAGCGGGUAAGGAAAAGACGCAACCGCAACCAGAGGAGGCAGAUCAUCAGGGACGGAUGGGCAGACUAUGAAGGAGAAGUUGUAAGAUCAGAAGACAUAGAGUUUAAACAGAAUUAUCCAGAGGAGAUUGAAGCACCGAGUCAGGUAUGGAAAAUGAAGAUAACUAUACAAGAAGAGGAGGCGCUGCCGGAAGUACCGACUACGCCACCCAACGAGCCUCAGGACGAUUAAGAGAAUGGAGAGUCCCGUUCGGAGGACUUAAAAACACCGAACGCCUUGCCAAGAGGUAAACUUGGUAGUUAUCCUUUCCCUUUCAAUUAUUCAAAUAGUUUACUUAGUUAAUUAAGUUCACACUAUCCUAAAAAGAAAAAAAAAAUAUGAAAAACUAUAAGCCUCAUGUGAGUAGACGAGUGGCAUAAAACCCAUAAGUACAUUCACUGUGGUGGCAUAAAAAUAAAAUAAAUAUUUUUCUGCUUUAUAAAAACAAAAAUAUAAAAACAGGGAGUAAUAAUUAUUGAGGAGUCUCAACAUAAUAAAGGCUAGAUAUUUAUGCUAACACUUAAUCAGUUCCACAAGCUUUGUUGUCUAUUUGAGCUCCACAGAAUUUAAGAAUCAAGAAGACUAGCAGACGGAGGACAUUCUAAUCGCUGUCAGAAUGCUGCUGACUUUCAAAUACACCUUUGCCACCUGCUAGCUACAUCAAGAGAAAUUACGUCAAAAUUCAGCUUGGGGGAGAGCACCCCCAUUUAUCUCGCUAAGUAUUUCUAUCUAUCUUUAUACUUAUAUUAUAUUAGAAUAUUAAAAUACAUAGCUAUAAAAAAACCAUAUAAAGAGUUUGUGCUUAUAUAUAUAUUGGUCUUUUGCUUAGUAUGUUUAAUAAAUAAAUAAAGUGGCUAUGCUAAUCUGUAUCUAAAUAAAACUUAAGCAUGGAUAUGAUGAAUAGUUGCUCUGCCUAAUUUGCACAUUUUAAGUUCUCUCUCAUGUUUAGAUAUAACUGUUAUAAUUUAAGGCUUGCUCUAGACCUAAACUUGUGGGAUGAAAACUUGAUCUGAAGUCUAAGUUGUUAACGGAUAUGAUAUGGGAAGGUUGAGCUGUUGUUUAUCUGUUCCUAGAGAUGCUAGAAUUCUGGAGAAUUUUAUUUUUGAAAAUCUUUAAAAUGUUGCAUGAUGAGUUCCUGUAUGAUGAGAGUUUAAAUUCCUACCACAGCCAUAUAUACAUGCUUGCUAGACUUUGAGCCACACAUUUAAUAUUUACUGCUUAUGAGCAUUGAGUGUGGUCAAGCUGUGUAGACCCUUAGGAGCUUGUCAUGUGGUUAAAUCAAGAUUUCACUUGCACGUUCACUCAUAUAUGCUACUUCUACUCCGGAAGUACCAUCCACAUAUAUCCAUCCAUUUCCAUCUCCAGAAUCACCCAAAAAUAUUCUACUCCUAAUCCGGGAGAGAAUAACCAAAAAUAUUUAUGUUUCCCCUUGUGAAAUAAAUGCUCAAGUUAUCUUGUUACUACCACUUGCUAUAUUAUCUCAAGAGAUGAAUGCUCUGAAAAAAAAGAGAAAAAGAAAAAAGAUACGAGGAAAUAAAAAGGAGCAAGUGCUCGGAACCUCGAAAGAAAAGAAAAAGUGAGACGAGAGGUAAAAAUGGACAAGUGUCCGACAGUAGAAUUAGGGGUACAAGAUACCCACCUGAGAGGAAAGAAAAAGAAGAGCAUCUCAUUCUCCUCAUAAAGUUUCAAAAAGCAAGGAAGGUAUGUAUCCCCUCAAAGAGCAAAGUAGAAUUAGACUUCCACCACCAUUGUUUCCACCAUUCUUAUCACCAUUAUCAUCAUACACCAUUCAUUCGCCACACAUGCACAUCUUGAUUUGGCUUAUUGAUUUGUUUCUUUGGAUCCAUGGUUUGACUAUGCAAUAAAUGUCUUGUAAGUAUGUAUAUUUUAUCUCCCACCUAUGAGCUCCAGAUAUUAAAGCCUUAUUAGAGUAGGGUGAGAGAGAAGGCAAUGUCACUAUGCCUCAAACCACAAAUACUACAUAUCUUGAGAGAAGGCAUAUACCAUCACUGCCUUGGUAAGGAUCCAAAAAUACCACAAAAGAGAGACCAGAGAGAAUCAUACAAGGAAUCUCUGAGUUUUAUUUGAAAAUCUACAAAAACCCCAGAGCUAUAGCUGAUCAAGAAUGAUAGACAUGGCACUUGGCUAGACUGUUCUAUCUUUUAACUACUCAAGAUAGAAGUGACGGUUACAAGUCCCAUGGUGAAGGUAAAGUAAGUAAGUUUUAAGUCUUGACAGUUUACUCUAACUCAGAGAUGAGAUCUUAUUUAAGAGCAUGUGUACCAUCAAUUUUUUAAAGAUAUUGCAACAACUUAUGAUCCAUAGCUGAGUCUAUCCUUGCUCAGGGACGAGCAAGAGGUAAGCUUGGGGGAGUUUGUUGACGGUCCUUAAGUAUCAAAUAAAUAAAGAAAAGGAUCCAAAUGAAAUCAACAUCUAGAUUUAGGGUUUUAUCUGAUAGAAUUCCACGAGUUUUGGUGUUUGUCUAUAUCUGCAGGGGGUUAUCAGGAAAUAUGGUAGAAAGGCCCACACGUCGGGAUUACGUAAAGAUAUUAACGUGCCGCGCAAUUAUCUUACAUCUAGAAGACUCCAGAAGCCACGAGACCGAAGCGGAGGCGAAACAGGGCCUGACCCUGGGCGCCCGCCCAGUUGGUCAGGGCGCCCGCCCUGCCCCUGAGUCCAAUCAGGACUCUGCUUUGCGGGAGAUUUCCACCGACCUAAAGGAUGAAUCUAAACCAUACUGUCAGCGUCUAGACUCACGGUCUAGGCACUAACAAGUAUAAGUCUGCGUGACUGACCAAGCUUGGAUGGUGAUGCAAGUGAGACACAGAGAGUUUAUGCUGGUUCGGGCCGAGGAUGCCCUACGUCCAGUGUGGCGGUGGAUUCUGUAUAACCUUGCACCCAAAGGUGCUUGCAGUAGGGGGUACAAGCUGGUUGCGAGAGAGGGCUAAGUCCCAGGUCUCGGCUUGGUGUGGACAGAGUGCGGGCUGUUGCUCUGUGAAAGAGUGUGGUGUGCGUGCGUGUUUUUCUGAACCUGUGCGUUCCCUCCUUAGUUGUGAACCCUGGCUCCCCUUUUAUAGUCCCAAGGGAAGGCCAGGUAUUUACAUGAGUAGAUUUCUUUCAUUGAAGGGUGAAAACACAGUCCCGACCCUGUUGAGGCUGGUCCAUCUCGUCCUUGAGGGAUGGUUGACAGCAUGGCUACUCCUGUAGAGGGUUACCGAACCCUGUAGGGGUCACGGGGUCGGAUCGCCGGUACUGCUGCAUAUCCUGUCAACAGUGGGAAAUGACCGCAAAUAGUGGUGCUGAUUUACCUCACCCAUUCCCUUUCUAUUGUGCGGUAGCGUGCUACAGUGAACAGGGGUAGGGGUGUAUAGUGACAGAGGUUAGGCCACAGUGACCGGGGUGGUUGAAACAGUCAUCGCCUUGCCCUGCCGCGUUAUGGGGGCCGUCGCGUCCGUCAUGUCGGGGGAAGUCUUGUUACCCAGGUGGAGUGGGGUCCGAGACCCUGAGAGGUCGGGCGAGUCGGAACUGGCGUCCGAGGCCCUGAGGGGUCGGGCGAGUCGGAACUGGCGUCCGAGGCCCUGAGGGGUCGGGCGAGUCGGAACUGACGUCCGAGGCCCUAUCGGGUCGGGCGAGUCGGAACUUGCAUCCGAGGCCCUGAUGAUUGUAAUUAGUAUGUUUUUUUUGUGUCUUUUAGCUGCUCUGAUUUGGGUACCCCUUAUUAUGAUACCCAACAGUAGCCCCCGAGCCUCUGAAGGGGUAGGUUUUCCUCUUUAGAGGUUCCUUCCCCGGGGACUGCUUUGUAGCUGACUAGGAGCCUUUCACUCUUCUCCGGGGGGUGCGCGCGAGCGCACCUGCCGGGUGUAGCCCCCGAGCCUUUUGGAGGAAUGGUGUCAUUCCUUCAAAGGCUUUCACUCCUUGACGGCUUUAGUUUGGAGUGUUUCAAGGGAUAGGUUGCGUGUUCUUUACACGUAGUGCCUGUUCCCAUGGUGCGAGGAAGUCCCCGAGCCCUUUCCCCGUAAGGGUCGAUCAGGUUCUUUCUCGUCUUGUAAUUACGUCCCUCAUUCUUCCUUUCGCUCGGAGGAGGGGUGGGUCGUGCCGUACUACCCUCGACGGGCGAGUGACGACGCUUCCCGGGAGCUGCAGGCGGGUAAAUCCAAGUGGAUGUCCGAGUCCCGUUCGAUAGGGGUCGGCUAGUGGCCUUAUGGGCACAUCUCAAAAAGUACCCGAGGGCAGUCACGGUGGAUGUCGGAACCGUUCGCUAGGUCCCGAGGGCUCGAUGCCUCCCUCGAUGCGAUCCCACUCUAGUGACACCCGCAUGGGUCUCGGAUAUGACUUGCAAAGAUGCGCCGACUCCCUGUAGGGUUCGGACCUUGGCCUCUAUUGUGCUCAUCUUCAGUCAUCCCUCGCUCAGUUAUCCUGAGGCGACUGUUCGAACCUGCGUUGCAGGUCAGUCUCGCAACCUCUGGAACGUAGGUGGCCAUGGCCUGGGGAUUUUAGGCCUCGAAAGGCUUUUUUCAGACUCGUUUUAUAAUGUUAGGGGUCGGGCGAGACGGAGAACUGCGCCCGACGGAGACCGCCUUGCGACGCUUGGUUAGCGAGGGGGGUCGACGCUUCCCCUGGAAGGAACCGCCCUGACAUAACUUUUCAGGGCGCUCCUUUUGAGGCGCGGCGCGUGGGGACUCAAAACGGCCGUGCCGUCUUGCCCCGGCUGGAUGGGACGUUUCGUCUGUGAAAUUAAUGCACGCGUGCGGCGGGCGCGGGAAUCGGAGGGACUUGGCGCUUCGAGUUUUUCACCUGAGUGGGCGACGGUUGCUCUCUUUCUCUCUCUUGGCCUUCCUCGCAGGGGCGUGGUCGUGGCUCGCCCCUUCUAUAAAAGCGGCUACUGGGGGCUUGAUUUCUUUCCUCUCGCUCCUGCGCCGCCAAGCCUUUGCCUCCUACUCUUCCUUGUGCCGCCGUCCACUCCACUUUUACUACGCAGACUUUCCUCUUCCUCCUGAAGCCUUGGCUGGCAUCGAGGCGUGGCCGCCCAGCAAUGUGACCAAGUCCGCGCUGGAGGCGCGCGUGAAGGCCGGGAUUCUCCGUCCUCUCAAGGACGUCGGGUUCCCGGAGUGGAUCGUUCCCUCGGCGAACGACAGGGAGCCAAACCCGCCGCCGGGCUAUGUGGUGUGCUUCCUGUCGUUCCUAGACUGGGGGUUCGGAGUUCCGGCCGGCCGCCUGAUCAGGGCCAUCCUCCACCACUACGAGGUGGAGUUACAUAACCUAAACCCAAACAUGGUGAUGCAGGCUGCCGUCUUCACCACGGUCUGCGAGGGGUUCCCGGGUGUUCCGGUCAACUGGAAUCUCUGGCUCCACAUCUUCAAGGCGGAGAUGUCGGCUCGUUACGUGGGGAAGGAGAAAUUCCCCCUGCGGGCCGGCUGCUGCACGCUGCAGCUUCGUCAGCAGCGGGCCGGGCUGUACAUAUGGAGCUCGAUGACUUCGCCGAACCGGGGGUGGCAGAGCGGGUGGUUCUACCUCCGGAACGACGGCGGCCUGCUCCCGAAGUUCACCGGGAAGAUGGUGACGGAGGUUCUCAUGAAGUGGGCGUGGGGCGCUCCGACCGAGGAGCAGAAGAGGCUCGCCCCGCUUCUCGCGGGGCUUCAGAAGUUGUGAGAUGCCGAAGUCACUGCGGCCACGAUGGCGACUGCCUUCCACAAGAGGAGUUUGCUUCCGCUGGCGCAGCGGCGAGUGCCCAUGUUCGAGAUGACCCGGGGGGUCCCCUGGGCAGGGACGAGGAUGUUGGCCGAGCCGCUAUCGGCCUCGGACAUCGCCGCCCGGGUCGAGAAGACGACGCACCCAGAGAAGAAGAAUUCUCGGGUGGUGCCGAUGCGCCCUGAAAAGGGCUACAUUUCCCUGGUAAGUAUGGAUUUUUUGCGCCUUCUUAUCAUUUCCUUCUCGUCAUGUCCUUGACUCCCGAUCAUUCGCAGAGGAUGGGGGUCGUCAAGGACUCCCUACCCCCUGUCCCAGAGGACAAGGAGAUCCGGGCCAAGAAUCGGGCUCGGAACGAGGAGCAGAAGAAGGCCAAGGAGGACAAGAAGGCCAAGGCAGCGCGGAAAGCGCAGCGGCGGGAGAUCUCCGCCAAAAAUCAUCGUGAAGCCGAGAAGGCAGGGGUCGCCCCGCCCCCCUCUCCCGAGACUUCGGUCUCGGAGAUAGAGGGCGGGGGCGGCGACGUCGACUGGCUUGACGAGCUGAUGGAGGAGGACGAAGUUAUCCCUCCGGCCGGCGGGGGAAUCGAGGCCCCGGAGGGGUCGAAGACCCGAGGGGGGUCGGAGGCCCCCCAGGGGGCCCAAGCGCCGGGGGGCGGGCAGGCCGCCCCCCACAUUAUUGUGGAUGAUGAGGACAGCGCCCCUCGUGAGGGUUCAGCCCCGGUGGGUCCUCAAGAAGGGGGGAAGGCAUCGGAGGCUGGAUCCAAGGCGCUACCUCAAACGGUAGUGCCAGAGGCUCCGGCUGAGCCCGCCCCAGCGUCCGGGGCGGGAAUUGGUGCCCUGGUGGAGGCGUCGCAGGCUGAGACCGCCGUGGUGUCUCCUGCGCCGUCGGCAGGCGAGGCAGGGGUCGGACCGGCGGCCCCUGGCGCCGCGGGAGGUCCCCUAGGAGCUCCGAGCUCCCAGAAGAAGUCUGCUCCCCGAGCGAGGUAUGUAUAGGAUUUCUGGUUCCUCUGCUGGUUUUUUUGUUUUUCUCUUUCUUCUAACUUGGUGUUGUUUCCCCAGCCGUAAGCAAAAGGCACCUUCGGUGGCACUGGCCCCCCUGAAAGCUGUGAAGAGGGGGGCUCAGUCAACUCCCGGGUCGGCUAGGCCCGUGUCUCCGCCGCCUCCAGGCUACGAGGAGGCAGGGCGCCACCCGGGGCAAGACACGGGGUCGCCGAAGCCCCAAGGACCGGAGGACGCUGACCUCGGAGGCGCGGCCCGUCCUGCGUGCUAUCGUGGUGUCCAGCGCGGCGCCCGAGGCCCCCGCGGCGGGGAGGGAGGAGGAAAUCGGAUGGGGCAAGAGCCCCGUAAUCUGGCCCAACCUCGGCGAUGAUGAGGAGGGAGCCAGAUUUGUCCUGGACGACCCGUCAGAGAGUUACCUCUGGCAGGGUCUGGAUGCGUGUGGGCGCGCCGGUGUCGAGGCCCUCAACCGAGCUACCCAGCUCGUGGGUCGUGACAUGUUUAAUUUGGCUCAGGUAAGAUUUUUAUCCGUGUUAUAAAGUAGUUUUGUGCUUACCUUUGCGGUACUAACCCCCUGUGUGACCUCUGAUCUUGCAGGCGCUCAAGGCCACCUCCCAGGAGAAAUCGGUAUUUCUCCAUCGGGAGAACGAUGCUUGGGCGUCCUUUGAGAAGGAGAGGGCUGCCAGAGAGGCGGCCGAGGGGGAGCUCGCGAAGGAGUGCGAGAUUUCUGCCGAGCUUCGGCAGAAGUGCUCGGUACUGGCCAACGAGGCUCGGGAGGCCCGGGACAAGGUCGCCCCCCUGGAGGAUAAGAUUGGGGACCUCGCACAGGAAACCGAGGCGCAAAAGGCGGCGGCUGAGGGGUACAGGGGUGAGGUCGCUCGGCUUGAAGCUUUGCUCGCCGAGAAAGACCUUGCCUUGAACCAAGCUCAGACCGACCUGUCCGGGGCUCUGAGCGAGGUGGCCCGCUGGCAUCAGAGCUCGGCGGAGCACGAGAAGCGUGCCGAGGGUAAGACUUGCGCCCUUUACCCUGGACUCCUUUAUACUUUUUGAGUUAGCUUUUCCUGACUUCCUGUUUCUUGUUCUGUUUUUUCGAUCAGAUUUGGAGAGGAAGGUCGUCGAGGCGGCCUCUGCCGCCGAGGCCCUGCAAAGGUCCCUCGACGCCGAGGCUUCAGACCGCUCGGCUCUUGAAGCCGUGGUCACCUCGGCGUGUGGGGGGCUCGGGGUAUCGGCGUCGGGGUCGUCGCUGCGGAGUCGGGUCGAAGCCCUUUACUCCCGGGCUGGGGAGAGGAUGAAGGAGGCACUCCACGCCGGGGUGAUGAAAGCCCUGGCGGUGGUGAGCUCUCACUAUGGCAGUAUUGAUUUGCCAGCAGUCUGUGAGGGCUACGUCCUCCCGGAUGAUGAGGCUGAGGCCCAGGAGGAGGUGCAGAGGCUUGAAGACACCGUGGCUAUCCCCGGAGAUGCUUUGGCCACCUUCUUCGACGACGAGGUGGAGCUUCCGCCCCUUGGGGCUCUAGGACCUGAGUAGACAGGGCAGCAGGACCCUUAGGUUUCUUUUCUUUUUGUGGGUGUUGAGGCCGGUGGGCCUUGUAACAUAUAUAUAUAUAUAUAUAAUGUUAAUGUCGAAUGUAAAUAUAACUGCUCUUUUUUGGCAUUUUCCCUAAGUAUCUUAUUUCCUUUCUCUUUAUACCGAUCCGACCUCAGCAGCGUGGGGGUCGGGUGAGCUACUUAGAGUUAUCGCGUAGGCCGGAGUCCCCAAGCCUAAGUGCUUUUCCUUUUUCCUUAGUAACUCUUGGAAGCCCGAAUUCGUUCCCGAAUCUAAGGUGAGUUGAGGCAGUCUUUGCUCGUGAGCGCAGAUCCUUCCUCGGGCUCAUGCCUUAAGAUUUAGGGGACGGAUUUUCGGUUUCUUGAGUCUUUUUAGGAAGGAGGAGGAAAACCUUGGGUCGGGGUUCUUUUAACUUGUGCGAAAAAAGAAAAAGAUUCGGAGUCGACAUAGGGGGUUCCCCCCAUGUAGCCCCCGAGGGAGGUUCGGACUCUGCUCGGCAGGUCCGAGGCUCUCUGAUAACUUAAACUUUGAUUUAUUCCUUGGAGGCAAUGGAUGAACAAAGAAAUUUUUACAAAGCUCUAAGGGAAAAAGCGACGUAGCUGUUCUAUGUUCCAUGCGUUUUUGAAGACCUCCCCUGUUUCAUUGGCGAUCUUGUAGGUCCCGGGUCGGAGGACUUCGGCGAUGACGUAGGGUCCUUCCCAGGGGGUGUGAACUUGUGACGACCCUUGUUGCUCUAUCUGAGCCUUAGCACCAAGUCGCCGACUUGAAAUGCUCGGCCUCGGAUCCGCCGCGCAUGGUAUCGGCGGAGGGCCUGCUGGUACUUGGCGGAGUGCAGGAGGGCUACGUCCAAGGCUUCGUCGAGCUGGUCCAGCACGUCUUCUUGGAACGUCUUGCCGCUGUUUUCGUCGUAGGCUUGUACCCUUGGAGACCCGUACUCUAGGUCAGUGGGGAGGAUGGCUUCCGACCCAUAGACCAUGAAGAACGGGGUGAAGCCCGUGGCUCGGCUUCGGGAGGUUCUCAGACUCCAGACGACGGUCGGUAGCUGUUUGAGCCACCUUUUCCCAAACUUGUUCAGGCGGUUGAAGAUCCUGGGCUUCAAGCCCUGGAGGAUCAUGCCAUUGGCGCGCUCGACCUGACCAUUGGUCUUGGGGUGAGCGACUGCCGCCCAGUCCACAUGUAUGUGGUGUCUGUCACAGAACUGUAGGAACUUUCGUCCGGUGAAUUGUGUGCCGUUGUCGGUGAUUAUGGAGUUCGGCACUCCGAAUCGAUGGACGAUAUCCGUGAAGAAUAAUACUGCCUGUUCGGCCUUGAUCCUUGUGAUGGGUCGGACCUCGAUCCACUUAGAGAACUUGUCGAUUGCGACAAGCACGUGGGUGAAGCCCCCGGGCGCUUUCUGCAGAGGCCCGAUCAGGUCGAGGCCCCAGACGGCGAAAGGCCAGGUGAUGGGGAUCGUCUGCAAGGCCUGGGCGGGCUGAUGUAUCUGCCGAGCGUAAAACUGGCAUCCCUCACAGGUCCUUACGAUUUCUGUGGCGUCGGCUACAGCGGUUGGCCAGUAGAAACCCUGUCGAAAGGCAUUUCCUACAAUCGUUCGAGGUGCCGCGUGAUGGCCACAAGCCCCCGAGUGUAUGUCCUGCAGGAGCUUGACUCCUUCCUGACGUGGGAUGCAACGCAUGAGGAUGCCCGAGGGGCUGCGUUUGUACAUUUCCCCGUCGAGGAGGACGAAGGUCUUGGCACGACGGGCCACGCGUCUCGCUUCAGCCUGGUCCAGGGGCAGAGUGCCAUCGACCAGGCGUUGAAGCAAAGGGUAGCGCCAGUCAGGCGAGUCGUCAGUCGCAGGUGGCUCUGGCUCGAUGUCCAUGGCCUCCUGUUCUUGGGCGACAGCGUCUUUGGGGUCGGCACUCUAUUUGUUUUGGGGUUCAUUCGACCCCCCGUCGUCCUUGUAGUCAACGGAAGGUUUGUAGAGAUCGCUGACGAAAACAUCCGGGGGGACCAUGGCCCGCUCGGAUGCCAUCUUGGCGAGCGCGUCGGCGGCCUCAUUAUACUUCCUUAACACAUGGUCAAGUUCGAGGCCGUCGAACUUUUCUUCCAGGCGUCGAACCGCUUUGCAGUAUGCGUCCAUCUUGGGGUUAUGGCAGGUAGACUCUUUCAUGACUUGAUCGAUGAUGAGUCUAGAAUCGCCUCGGACAUCGAGCUGCUUGAUCCCAAGUUCGAUCGCGACGUGAAGACCGUUAAGGAGGGCCUCAUAUUCUGCUGCAUUGUUCGAAGCAGGGAAAUGGAGCCGGAUUGCAUAUCGCAUCCUUACCCCGAGGGGUGAGAUGAAGCCAAAACCUGCGCCGGCCCCGGUCUUCAUCAAAGACCCGUCGAAGUACAUAAUCCAGCACUCGUGCUGGAUUUGAGGUGGUGGGAGCUGAGUCCCGAUCCAUUCUGCCAUGAAAUCCGCCAGUACUUGAGACUUUAUGGCUUUCUGAGGCUCAUAAGUGAUUCCAUCGCCCAUGAGCUCUAUGGCCCAUUUAGCAAUCCUUCCGUUGGCCUCUCGGUUCUGGAUCACGUCUCCCAGAGGGAAAGAUGAGACCACUGAGACCGGGUGAGAUUCAAAGUAAUGGCGGAGCUUGCGUCGGGCCAACACCACUGCGUAGAGCAGUUUUUGAAUCUGCGGGUAUCGGGUCUUUGUGUCGGAGAGCACUUCACUGAUGAAGUACACCGGCCUUUGGACCGGCAGGGCGUGCCCUUCUUCCUUCCUUUCGACCACGAUAGCUGCGCUGGCCACCUGGUCAGUGGCUGCGACGUAGAGAAGCAGUGGUUCCCCCUCGGCGGGAGGCACCAGGAUGGGAGGGUGGGUGAGCAAAGCCUUGAGCUUGUCAAGGGCUUCCUGGGCCUCGGGGGUCCAGGAAAAGUGCUCAGAUUUCCUGAGUAUCCUAUACAGAGGCAGCCCUUUUUCUCCGAGGCGAGAAAUGAAACGGCUUAGGGAGGCUAGACAUCCCAUCACCCUCUGUACUCCCUUUAGGUUACGAAAGGGGCCCAUAUUCGCGAUGGUCGAGACCUUUUCUGGGUUGGCCUCGAUCCCCCGCUCAGACACAAUAAACCCAAGGAGCAUGCCUCGGGGGACCCCAAAAACGCACUUUUCCGGGUUGAGUCUGAUCCCUUUCGCCCUAAGGCAUCGAAAUAUUUCUUCCAGGUCAGCGACCAGGCCGCUCGCCUUCCUGGACUUGACGACGAUGUCGUCUACGUAAGCCUCUACCGUUUUGCCUAUAAGGUUCCCAAAAACCUGGAGCAUACAUCGUUGAUAUGUAGCCCCCGCGUUCUUGAGGCCAAAAGGCAUGGUUACGUAGCAAUACAUUCCGAAAGGGGUGAUGAAUGAAGUCGCGAGCUGGUCGGACUCCUUCAUUUUGAUUUGAUGGUAGCCGGAGUAAGCAUCAAGAAAAGACAAAAUUUCACAUCCCGCGGUGGAGUCAACUAUCUGAUCGAUCCGUGGUAGUGGAAAGGGAUUCUUAGGACAUGCUUUGUUUAAACUGGUAUAAUCUACACACAUCCUCCACUUCCCAUUUUUCUUUUUAACUAGAACGGGGUUGGCUAACCACUCGGGAUGGAAUACCUCCUUGAUGAAUCCGGCCGCCAGCAGCUUGUGGAUCUCCUCCCCGAUGGCCCGGCGCUUCUCCUCAUCGAAUCGGCGCAGGCGUUGCUUCACGGGUUUGGAGCCGGUUUGGAGCCAGGCAUGUCCGAGGGACCCCACGCAAAUAUGCCAGCGUUCGUGCGGAGAAAGUCGACGAGCACCACUUCCUAUUUUGGGUCGAGGCUGGAGCUGAUCCUCAACGCCUUGCCUUCGGAGGUCCCGGGGUCGAGGAAAACUAGCUUGGUCUCCUCCACCGGCUCGAAGCUCCCGGCGUGACGUUUGGGGUCGGGGACGUCCUGGUCGCAGUCGCCGAGGCCAGUGAGGAUGGCCAGAGACUCAGCCAGAGCCUCGGCCUGCUCGACGCACUCGACGUCGCAUUGGUAGGCAUGCUGACUAGUCGUGCUGACGGUGAUGAUGCCCUUUGGUCCUGGCAUCUUGAGUUUGAGAUAGGUGUAGUUGGGGACGGCCAUGAACUUGGCAUAGCACGGUCGUCCUAGGAUCGUGUGGUAGGUUCCUGGGAACCCGACCAAAUCGAAAGUGAGGAACUCCCGUCUUAAGUUGCCGGGGGUCCCGAAGCAGACAGGCAGAUCGAUCUGUCCGAGGGGGUGGGCGCGAUGUCCACGCACUACUCCAUGGAAUGGCGCUGUAUCGUUCCUCAGCCGAGACUUACUGAUCCCCAUGAGGGCCGGAGUCUCGGCAUAGAGGAUGCUGAGGCCGCUGCCUCCGUCCAUCAGCACCUUAGUGAGACGGGUCUCGGCGAUGCUGGGGUCGACGAUCAGAGGAUAACUCCCAGGAUUGGGGAUCCGAUCCGGGUGAUCCUGUCUGUCGAACGUGAUCGCGCUCUCGGACCAUUUGAGGUACGAGGGCGUGGCCGUGCUGACUGCGCAGACUUCUCGGAGUUCGCGCUUCCUCUGACUCGCAGUGAGGCGAGCCGCUCGUCCCCCAAAGAUCAGAAGGCAGUUCUUGAUCUUGGGGAAAGCCUCCCCCUCGGGGUCGUCGUCCUUGGGAGGUUCUUCGGCACUCUCCUUGGUGAUGAUGUCGGUAUAGUACCGACGGAGGACGGUGCACUCCUCGAGGGUGUGCUUGGUUGGUCCCCUGUGAUAGGGGCAUGGCUUCUUCAACAUUUCGUCGAAGAGACCGGGGCCAGCAGGAGCCCGCUUGGGGUUCUUGCGAUCUACCGCAGCGACCAGGUUGUCGUCCGACUGUCCCUGCUUCCCCUUGCGACCCUUCUUCUUCUUCUUCGGGUCGCGCGAGUCCGAGGCUUCGGUAGCCUCGGCCUUUUGUUUCCCCUUAGCUGUGCUGUCGGAGAAAAUGGCGCCAACUGCCUCUUCGCCUGAGGCAAAGUUGGUGGCGAUGUCGAGCAGCUGGCUCGUGCUUGUGGGGGUCUUGCGUCCGAGCUCGUGUACCAACUCCUUGCAGGUGGUACCGGAAAUGAAAGCUCCGAUCACAUCGGAGUCCGUUAUGUUGGGGAGCUCGGUGCAUUGUUUGGAGAAUCGCCUGAUGAAGUCUCGAAGAGACUCGUCAGGCUUCUGCCGGCAGCUCCUGAGGUCCCAGGAGUUCCCAGGGUGCACGUAUGUGCCCUAGAAGUUCCCGACAAAGAUCCUGACUAGGUCAGCCCAGUCGUGGAUCAUGCGUUCAUGGAGGUGCUCGAGCCAUGCCCUGGCCGUAUCGGCCAGGUGGAGUGGAAGGUUGCGGAUGAUGAGCAGGUCGUCAUCCGCGCUGCCUAGCUGGCAUGCCAGGCGGUAGUCCGCCAGCCAGAGCUCAGGGUUAGUUUCCCCUGAGUAAUUGGUGAGGUUGGCGGGCUGUCGGAAUCGCGCCGGGAACUUGGCCCUGCGUAUGGCCUCGCUGAAGACGCGGGGACCCGGAGGCUCUGGUGACGUGCUUCGGUCGUGAUCAGGGUCGUACCUCCCGCCUCGGCGCGGUCGGUAACGUCGGGACUCGGCCUCGUCCCUGUCACGUUGCCUGGCCUCGAGGGUUGCCCGUACGUCCGCGUCGGUUCCGAUGCGCUCGUGAACUGACGGGGCCCUGUUGCCCCCUUGUGGGUUAGGGGGUGGCAGACCCUGUACUGUUGGUGCCUUGUUAGGAGGGGGCGUUCCCCACGACGUCUCGUGCUAUGGGAUUGUGAAGCAGAACUUUUCGCGUUCUGCACCACAGCCUGCUCCAGGAGGCCACGUAGCCCCUGGCGCACUCUCCUUCCCUCAGGAGUCGAAGGCUCGGGCAUCGCCCUGAGGAGGAGCGCGGCGGCCAUCACAUUCUGGCUGGCCGUGCUGAAGACUGGGGCGUCUUCCCCUUAGUCCGCAACAAUGUGACGGUUGACGUCACGGGCGCGACGUCUGGCUUCACCCCCAUCUCCGCGGCCGGACGGCUCUCGGACCAGGGCCUCACGGAGUUGGCGAAGGCGUGUGCGCUCUUCUUCGAGCCUGGCCUCCAGCUCAUCGAGCUGUGCGAGGUCAGGGUGGUGUCCCCCAGCGGGGGCAGAUGCUACCCCACGGUCUCCGGGAUUGGUUCCGGGAGUUGGAUUGGGAGGUGGAGUUGCGUCCUCUUGCCUAGAGGGCCCUGCAUCCCCCUGGGCACUACGCGGCGUGCCUCCGACUUCUAUGUUGAAGCAUUCUCGUGACGGGUCGUAGUUUCCGUCGUCGGAGUUGGAGUAGCCGAGACAAUAGUUGUUGGCCUCCAAGAAACGCAUGAAGGUCUCCGGGUCGCCAUACCCGAAAAAGUCAGCGCCCACCCACUCGUCGUCGCCUGAGGUAGGAUCCUCAGGGUAUGGCGAAACGGGCGGCGUAGAGAUGAGGUCCAGAGUAGGCCUCGAGUGGUGCCCUGGAAGUUCCGCAUACGCACUUAGUGAAGUGCUCACGGAAGAGGCGUAGGUGGCGGCGGCAUUCCUGAGCCCAAAAGGUAACUCAGGAGGUGCCGCUACUGCUCCUUCGUGCGUAGGCGGAGGAGGACGGGACGUUGAGGCCCCUUUGUCCCCCUUGCGGGGGACGGGCGUGGGCCGUACCUUCCCCUUCGACCGGGGUGGAACGGAAGGCCGCGAUGAUCCUCUGCUGGUCCUGGGACCGGGGCUUGAUGCCCCGCGAGCACAUCCUCUAGCGCCUGUCGGGCCGGAGGAACGGGCGACCUGAUGAGGAAUAUGCGGGGGGAGGGCCGGACGGGCCCUAGCCUCAGAGGUAGGGUCGGAGAUCCUAGAUCUCUGACGCCCCCUCCGUGAACCCCCCGCAUCGUGUCCCGAACAUCUCCCACGCACUGACUGUGGCGGGAUUGGCUCGGGGCUAGGCUCGACGUCGUCACGUGGCGGGAGGAGGACCAUGUCGUAGCCGGAACCGGGGGACAUGAAUUUUAAACUCCCAAACAUCAUAAUGGUGCCGCGGCGGAGUGGGCGAAAUCCGUGUGCCAUCCAAGCCUUCCCAGUAGGGACUGGAAAGCGUCACGCAGAAGGCCCCUACCUGGCGCGCCAACUAUCGGCGUCUAGACUCGCGGUCUAGGCACUAACAAGUAUAAGUCUGCGUGACUGACCAAGCUUGGAUGGUGAUGCAAGUGAGACAUAGAGGGUUUAUGCUGGUUCGGGCCGAGGAUGCCCUACGUCCAGUGUGGCGGUGGAUUCUGUAUAACCUUGCACCCAAAGGUGCUUGCAGUAGGGGGUACAAGCUGGUUGCGAGAGAGGGCUAAGUCCCAGGUCUCGGCUUGGUGUGGACGGAGUGCGGGCUGUUGCUCUGUGAAAGAGUGUGGUGUGCGUGCGUGUUUUUCUGAACCUGUGCGUUCCCUCCUUAGUUGUGAACCCUGGCUCCCCUUUUAUAGUCCCAAGGGAAGGCCAGGUAUUUACAUGAGUAGAUUUCUUUCAUUGAAGGGUGAAAACACAGUCCCGACCCUGUUGAGGCUGGUCCAUCUCGUCCUUGAGGGAUGGUUGACAGCAUGGCUACUCCUGUAGAGGGUUAUCGAACCCUGUAGGGGUCGCGGGGGUCGGAUCGCCAGUACUGCUGCAUAUCCUAUCAACAGUGGGAAAUGACCGCAAACAGUGGUGCUGAUUUACCUCACCCAUUCCCUUUCUACUGUGCGGUAGCGUGCUACAGUGAACAGGGGUAGGGGUGUAUAGUGACAGAGGUAAGGCCACAGUGACCGGGGUGGUCGAAACAGUCGUCACCUUGCCCUGCCGUGUUAUGGGGGCCGUCGCGUCCGUCAUGUCGGGGGAAGUCUUGUUACCCAGGUGGAGUGGGGUCCGGCGCCCGUGCCUAGACGGGGUCGGGCGAAACGGAGCUUGCAUCCGAGACCCUGAGAGGUCGGGCGAGUCGGAACUGGCGUCCGAGGCCCUGAGGGGUCGGGCGAGUCGGAACUGGCGUCCGAGGCCCUGAGGGGUCGGGCGAGUCGGAACUGACAUCCGAGGCCCUGUGGGGUCGGGCGAGUCGGAACUUGCGUCCGAGGCCCUGAUGAUUGUAAUUAGUAUGUUUUUUUUGUGUCUUUUAGCUGCUCUGAUUUGGGUACCCCUUAUUAUGAUACCCAACACAUACAAUCUAUGUCGGUUUGAUCCAAGGGCCCAUGUUCACUUGAAGGGACUAUAAAACCAGACCCCCUGGCCCCUGGAGGAGAGAGCCUCUCAACCCUAAUUCAUUGUUCCAUCAAGGGAGAAGAAGCCUCUGAUCAAGAUUAGAGCCACCACAUCAAUUAAACAUCUAGAUUAGCAUAGCUACAUAGGAUUAGAACUAGAAGGAGUCAAUCUUCGAUUGGUUUCCGGAUCUGUCAGGAGGAUUCUUGGUAAUUCUCUAAUUGUGCUUCUAAUUGCUUUCUAAUUAUAUUUGUUCUUCAAUAUUAUGAAUAUGACUUUGUUCUACUUCAGUAUAUUGCUUAUGACUUUGCUCUACUUGCUUAUAUUCAAGAUUAUAUUGUUCUUAGUUUAUCAUAGUUAUGUACUUGGCUUAGUUAGAUACGAUCUAUAUACAUGCUUAGGAUCGUAUAGCGUUUAUCCAUCGGAUCCAUGGGUAAAUGAUAGAUAUUGUGUAGGCGUGGUGCUUAUACCGUAUUUAUCUACGAUUGUACCCAAUAUGCCAGAUCGUGGGGUGGUUCGUGAUAGUGACAGCUUCAUUGAUUCUUAUAUAGUCCCCCUCUCGUGUAUUGGGCUGGCAGAGCAACAUUAUUACAGGGGAGUGAUUGCUAUGUUUCACAUAUUCCUUGCUAAUAUCACUAUGCAUGGGCGUAGUCUUGUCUCGCAAUGAUUGCUAAGUAUGCUUGCACUAACUAUGAUAAUGCUAGACUAUAUAGUUGAGAAUAACUUAGGGAAUAUUCUUGUAGUUCGUUCUAAUACCAUGCUAAUGACUUUCUAGAGUAUCUAAUUGAGGUGCUUAUCAUAUUUAUUAUGUGGCUAGAUCAGAUUAGUUAUCCUUGUCACUAUUAUUAUUUCAUAUAUCUUUUAUGUGACACUUAUCCCUGUAUGAAGAGUUAGAUAUAAUGUUCUCAAUUAUACAUGCAAUGAUAGAUGCUCAAUCUCAUAUUCUAUUCUGUAAUCAAUAGUGAUGAUUGCUAAUCCCUUCCUAGUGGUAAAAAUAUAAAUAACGAUACUUGGAAUACUUCCCGGUUAAAAUGCUGCAUCGGUAUUAAUUUGUGCGCUUGCAGAUCCCAUUCAUUAUUUAUUUAGAAGAGCAAUUGCAUAUUUCAAUACCGCGUCUCUCAUGUCAUGCUGGGGAUGACAACUUGGCUUAAGUGGUGUGAGGGAUAGGUUUGGCAUUUUUGGCACCGUUGCUAGAUUUAGAACUUAGUCUACUUUUAGUAAUGAUGUUAAGAAUACCCAACAAGCAUUUUUGGCGCCGUUGCCGGGGAAGGUUGAUUACCAAUCAGGAAUAGAAUAAAAGAUUUUGAGUUAUCGUUCGCAUCACUAAUAUGAUUGAGCUUAUCUAUUCUCUCAUACAGUUUUACCCCGAUAUUUUUCUAUUUUAUCUUAUGCAGGGGAAUGUAUGAAUAGAAGACAUCUUCUAGGAAAUUUUGUUGACAAUCCCGAAGCAUUAUUCAAGAAGACGAGAGCCAAGCUAAAGAAAUCAUCAACACUUCACGAAGAAGCUUCAUCCAAUCAAGAAGAUCACCGGAACUUGUCUUCAGAGUUCGAAGCCAUGGCGAACAAAUCGAUCUGCGAGUUCUCAGCUCCCACUACGGACAACAUCUGCACUGGACCUGCUGCAGAGAUCGAUGGCAACUUUGAGCUCAAGCCUGUACUUAUCAACAUGGUGCAAUCCAACCAGUUCUGUGGGAAGGCACACGAAGAUGCUAGUGCUCAUUUACAACACUUCGUGGAGAUUUGCAACACAUUCACCAUAGCAGGAGUUUCCAAAGAUGCUAUACUACUUCGCCUCUUCCCAUUCUCACUGUUAGGAAGAGCGAAGCAGUGGUUCUACGCUACAAAGGAGAAGAAUACUACAUGGGCACUCUGCUCAACAAACUUUCUGGCUAAGUUCUUUCCCAUGGGCAAGACCAAUGCUCUCCGUGGGAAGAUUACAAGUUUUCAGCAACAAAAUGAUGAAUCUGUUCCAGAAGCAUGGGAGCGCUUUCAAGACUACAUCCUAGAAUGUCCCCAUCAUGGAAUGGAGAGUUGGCUAUUGAUGCAGACGUUUUAUCAUGGGCUCAGCAACAGUGCCCGAGAAACCAUGGAUGCUGUAGCUGGAGGAGCAUUCUUAUCACUUACUAUACCACAAGCCACAGCUCUUGUGGAGAAGAUGGCGUCCAACCAAAGCUGGAAUGAAGAGAGGACCCAGACACGCAAGAGAGGUGGAGGUAUGCAUCAGCUGAAGGAGGUAGACAUGCUGUCUGCAAAGCUAGACCUGCUCAUGAAGAAGCUCGAUGAUAGAGCUGGAGACAAGAAAUAAGUUAUGCACAUCUACGACUCUCACAUGACUUGUGAGGAGUGUGGAAACACUGGACACUCAGGCAACCACUGCCCUGAGAUACUUGAGGAUGUGAACUACAUCUACAACAACAACUACUACAACCGUCCUCAACAAAAUCAAGGUUGGAAUCAACAGAGGCCUAACUACUCAGGUAAUUAUCAAGGUAACAAUUCUUAUAACAACAAUAGUAAUUUUCCACCUUUGAGAGAGUUAGUGUCUCAUCAUGGAAAGCUAAUGGAUAACCUAUCUAAGAAAUUGGCAUCUAAUGAUAAAAUGCUAGAAAAUAUAAAUAAUAGAAUGGAUAAUUUUUCUACUGCCAUCAAGAAUCAAAUUAGCUUUAAUAAAAUGAUUGAAUCUCAGUUAAAUCAAAUAGCUGCUGCUGUUCCUACUACUAACCCCGGUAUACCAUCACAACCGGAAGGAUUAGAAUAUGCAAAUCUUGUAGACGUGUUUGAUGCAGGUAAUUGGAGUAACCCCGUCACUGAAUUUUCUACUGACCGUCUGCCGGUCAAGAGAGGCGAUCCAGGACGCCCCGUCAUCCCGAUCUCCAUCGGCAUGGUGGACUUCCCAGAAGCACUCUGUGAAUUUGGCUCUAGCGUCAACAUUAUACCCAGGGUACUCUAUGAAAAAUUCUUUACAUAUCCUUUAUUAGAGACAACCAUGUGUUUGCAGUUUGCAGAUCAGACGAUAACUUUUCCAAAAGGAAUAGUGAAGAACCUUUGUGUCCGAGUUGGUACCUUAUAUGCCCCAGCAGACUUCGUAGUGGUAGAGACCGGAAAUGAUGAGAGAGCACCCAUCAUCUUAGGGAGGCCAUUCUUGAACACCACGGGAGCUAUCAUCUACGCUAGUGCUGCCAAGAUCAGUUUCUACGUCAAAGGGAAGAAGGAGACAUUUUUCUUCAAGAACAAGACUACACAAAUUCAAGAUCAAUCCAGACGUGAAUCAAGGAAGAGGACCAACAGGAGGAACAAAGACAAGCACGUGUGGACCGAGUCAGCUAAGAUGGUCACUGUAGUUCAUGGAGGCCAAGAUCACCAACUGAAGUCACCGUUUUUGACCAAGAAGGACGAUCCAGGAAUGCCAAGCAUUUACUGCUCCAUACAUGGAUAUAGCUUCUACAAGACAAUUUGCGACACCGGAUCGGGCGUCAACAUAAUGGCUGCAGUCACCUAUCGGCUCUUGUUCGGAACCAUGCCACUAAGACCAACAUACAUUCAGCUCCAGAUGGCAGGUCAGACAUUUCGAGAAGUUCAAGGAAUAGUAUCUGAUGUCCCAGUCAAAAUAGACGAUCACUUUGUCUACACAGACUUUCAAGUUGUUGACAUGGGAGAAGAUGAGAAUGAUCCACCCGUCAUCCUUGGAAGACCGUUCCUCAGCACCGUUUGUAACACCCCAGUGUUAUGGUUGCAUCAAGCAUGUGCAUGGCAUGAGCAUCAUCAUUUUUUUCAAAGCAUCCAUGAUCAUCAUCUAUCUUGAGACAUGUCAUUCUUUGCAAAGAUGUGGUUUAAAUUGAUUAAAUAGGCUUCCUAUGCUUAUGUUUGAGUGAACAAUGCUUGUGUUUGUGCUUAAUGUCUUGGUAAUUAGUUUAGCUAUGUUUAAAUUGAUCUUGGGAACAAUGUUCAUGUUGGUCAUUUUUCCAAAAUAUGCUUCUAAGUCAUACUUAUGAAAAUAGGCCCUAGAAACCUCUUUUGCUUAGGCUUUUAAAAAGUGUUUCAUAAAAUGUUUGCAUGUCAAACAUUUCUACAGCAAAGUUGUAGCAAAUUUUAUAAGGAACAAAAGUUGUUUUAUGGCCAUCUCAUGAAAAUGAACACAAAUAGCUCAAAAGUGGUCCACAAGGCAGAUUUGGGGCUGUUUUCAACACUUAGAAAAUUUUCUAAGUCCUGGGUGCUUUGCAGUUUGCUCGAUCGGUUUUGGAAACUCUAUAUCUUUCAAUCCAGGCCGAUCUGGCCUUUGCUCCAGUUGACAAAGUUGUAGAUCUCGCCUAGUACUCCAAGUUUGUCAACUACGCCAUCGCCUAAUUCGCUAUGGUUUGGGAGAUAAUCGCCGGUGAAGUGGCUCUGUCAGACGAGCACCCUUUCUUCUGAAUCGGGCCUGACCUCGUCGACGUGGCCGACCGCCGGCAGAGCUCCGUCGCCAUUUGUCGCCCGUACACCGCGUUUGGCCCCGCUUGUCAGCUUCCGUCACGUGCAUGACCUCCACGGCGGCGCCCCGAGCGAGUGGACGCGUCCACUUCGCUCUGCCUCGCCCUCUCUCGCCUGAACCUCGUCCGCAGCGAGCCCUCCGCCGCGAGCUCACUCCGGCGAGCUCGUGUGCGCUCCUCUCUGCGUCUCCGUCCACCAAACUCCACCCAAAGCUCCGCCGUGAGCCGCUCUCCAAGCUCCACCCUCUAACUCGCCGAGAAACCCACCGGUGAGCCGACAUUCCCUUCUUCCCCCAAAUCGGUCCGCCGUGACCUUCUUCUCCGGCGAACUCAAUGCCGAGCGCUGUGAGGCUUCUCAUCAUCUUUGGUUAGGUCCUAGAGGUAGCUUAGGUCCUUAGCGAGCUUUUGCGCCACCUGGUGGACGCUCUACCGGGUUCUCCGUCGCCGGACACGGUGCGCAGCGCCGCCGUGCUUCCGCCGGAGUUGGGUGCUCUCGUGGCCAGCCUUUCCACGGGGAUCCAGGCCAAGCCGCGUACCUAGGAAGCUUUGCCGUAGUCCGUUGGUGCUGUAGAAGGCCUUAGGUCGCGCUCUACCGGCCUGAGGGCUCCGGCGUAACGGCGGGCACCUCCGCCGAGCCGCCAUUGCCGACGGUGAGCCCCUUCCGGUGGCUCCGCCGUGGCAAAAGUGGGGUCAAUCGAGCCGUUAGGGUUCGGGGAUCACGUUGAUGCCCUGGGUUUGGCCGGAGACCUCGCCGUCGCGGAGAAAUCGCCGGCGAAGAUCGCCUCGGCCGUGAGGAAGAAGAGCCUGACAGAUGGGACCCACUGUCAGCGACUCUCUCUUUCCCUCCUUUUCUUUCAUUCAAAAUCCUGAUUUUUGGCUUUCUUGCAAAAAUCAUAUCUCCAGUUUCUGAGAUCCAAAAAUUGUGAAACAAAUUUUGUGGUGUUUCUUGAGAUGGCUAGUAUUUAAUAAAAAUAUAAAAUGAAUCAUAUUUUCUGAGAAAUUAUUUAUUAAGGAUUUAAUCUUGUUAUUUGUGGAUAAAUGCAUAUCUCUUGUUAUACUGCUUAGUUUGCUUUGAAAAUUUUAUGGUGGUCUUUGCAUGGCAUUGGAGUGCUCUGAUAAUUAUUUCAUGAUUUUUGGAGCACUGUUGUUGUGAUAUGUAAUUUGUGUUUGAAAUAUGGCUUGUUUCUUUAAUUAAAUCACAUAAAAUAAUUGGUGUUUAUGCUGGUGCUCUAUUUUGGUGGUGAACUUGUUUAUGGUAUUCCUAAGAUGUAAAUAAUCUGAAAUCUGUUGUUUGACACUAUAUAAGUCAUGUUUAUGAAUUUAUGAAAUAAAUGCCUUGAUACAUGUUAAAUGCAUAUCUUUAAUUUGGCAUGUGCAUUGGUCCUGAAAUCUUGUCAUGGCAGAGCAACUAUUCAUCAUUUCCAUGUGAGAGCUUAUCACAAGGGUUCAUAGCAAACUUUCUUUAUUUAUUUACGUGUUUAGCAAACAAAGAAAAGAUAUAUAUAAGCACAAAAUCUUUAUUUGGGUUUUUAUGAUUAUGCACCUUUUUAUUAUUUGAGUAAAGUAUAAACGUGAGUAGAAACACUUAGCUGGAUAAAUGGCGGUGCUCUCCCCCAAGCUGGAUUUUGACGUAAUUGCUUCUGAUGUAGCUAGCAGGUGGCGGAGGUGUAUUUGAAUGUCGGUAGCACCUAGACAGCGAUUAGGAUGUUCUCCGUCUCCUAGUCUUCUUUGAUCUUUAAAUUCUGGGGAGCUCAAAUAGACAACAAAGCUUUGUGGAACUGGUUAAGUGUUAGCAUAAAAAUCUCUUUGCCUUUAUCAUGUUGAGCUUCCUCAAAUAAAUAUCACUCUCUUUGGUAGGAUCAUAAUUUUUUUUUAUUUUCAUUUCUAUAGGACAGAAAUAUAUUUAUUUUAUUUUUUACGCCACCAUAGUGAAUGUACUUAUAGGUUUUAUGCCACGAGCAUACUCACAAGGGGCUUACUAUUUUUAACAUUUUUAUUUUCUUUUCAAGAUAGCAUGAUUAACUAACAUGCCAUUUAAGGAAAGUAAAUAAUUUAAAGGAAAAGAGACUGCAGAAAGGAUAAAUAUGGAUUACUACCAAUUUUACCUUUCGGCGAGGGUUCAAUGUUUUAAGUCUUCUGAACAAGACUUCUCACCGUUUUCAUUCUUCAGGUGCGUCAUUUGAUUCAGGUGUGGACCUUGACGUCUGCACCUCUUAAUACGGUGUCACCCAUGUUCUUCAUUUGCCCAACAGUUGGAAGUGCGGCGUUGGCAGUAUCUUGCUCAGUGUGUUUGUGCUCGUAGAUCUAGGUUCUUCACUUGGUGGAGUCUGGGAGAUGUAAAACUCCUCCAUAUUUUGCUUCAAGUGCAUGGGCCCUGUUGGUGGAAAACACCAACAGAACCAAAAGUGUUUUUGUUCUUCUCUAACCUUAAGCAUAGUGAGCAAGACAAAGUUGAUGGAUGAUAAGUUCAUGAGUGUAGCACUUAUAACAUUUGUCAGAUCAGAUCGCUGAACCUUAUGGAAUGAUAAUCUAUCUAUGUAUAUGUCUUUUUCUUUAUAUCUCUCAAAGAUUGAAUGUGUAACAUUUUAGCUCAUAUGAUUAGGAGUGUGGGAUCAUGGAGGUAGUACUAGGAACAAGGAUUAAAGGACUAAACAUGCUGAAUCAGUUGGGUUGGUUAAUUUGGACUUAGAAAUCAUACAUGUUUGUCUCUUUAUUUAUGUGAACGCUAGAACCAAGGAGAAACUUAUAAAAGUGAUAGUCACAUAUCUUAAGAUGUUACCUUAAUUGAAGUGUGAUGGUACCAUCUCACCUUGUGGAAGCUUCCCAUUUGUAGUGGUUGUGUAUCGUGUUUGUGGCACCCUCCAUGGAUCAUCUCUUAUGAGCUAUGUCUUCCUUGUGUAAAUUGUUAAACUUCAUGUGUCCCUCCCCUUGUCUCCAAUGUGAGUUUAUCUCAGGACUUCCCAGGUUAAUAUUGAAAGUUUUCCUAGAGGGGUUAGUCCGACAAAAUAUACCAAUAUCUACUUAAGCAGUUUUUAGUUCAAUAACCAAACUAGACUCCAUGUCUAAUCAGAUUAAGGAAGGUUGUUUAACCUAAGCACCAUGCUUAAUUUAAAAGCCAAUAGAAGUAUGUGCAGUACUUCCAAACUAACACUUACUAGGAUAAACAAAGGUAGCGUGAUGGCAUUUAUAGAGAUCUACUCAAGUGGAGAUGAAGUAGUGUGAUUAGUAUUUAACAAAUUGAGCAUGUCUCAAAGGUAGGGACAACCAACAUAGCAACAUGACAAAGGAUGUUUUUAUGUAAAGUACUCCCCUAAGCUUGAAUUUUGUAAAAUUCAAGUUUGGGUGAAUUUAAUUCAAUGUUGUAUGAUGAUUGGUUGGACAUACCUUGUGCUUGUCAUUCAUCCGAUCUUCUUGCUCCAAUCCUGGAAAAGUUAGUGACAAGAAUACCUGAAGGAAUAUUUUUACGAUUAUCCUUAUAUGCUCAAUACACAAGGUAAUGUUGUAAAUUAUUAAAAGCUCAUGUUACGAUCUGAUCAGUGCUUAUUUUAGGACACUAAGCUUGUCCUUGGGAAACCAUCAAUUUAUGUCGGCGAAGUGGUUUCCCUUCCAAUGCUGACCUAUAUCAAGACCAACUCAACGAGAUCUGCAAUAUUUAUUAUAGACGUAUACGUCGACAACCGCCUUUUUAAAGUUUUUAUAAAUAGAAAGGAAGAGGGGGUUGAGGAUCUCAAAUGUGGUGAUGUUGGAGAGACCAAUAGAUUGGGAAGAUGUUGCAUAUGAGUAUGGAGUAAACGAAGUGGCUAUGAAAUAAAUUCCAUGGUCAUUAAUGUCAUCUUCAUCUCCAAUCUGAAUAUUCAGAGUUUCUCCUAGAUUGGUCUUACCUAUAUCCUCUUCUAUAGUUGGAUGAAUCUCAUCUUCAAAGGGAGUCAAGAACUCAACAUUUGAUAUUGAGCCAAAGUCAGAAUCCAUUAAGGCUUCUUCCUUAUCCAUCCAUUCUACACAUUCUAGCCAUUUAGAACUUGUGAUCAGGAAAGGUGAGGUGUUAGAAUUUUCUAUAUGGCUUAGCUCUCCUUCACUUGGUAUGUCAUCCUCGACUUCUUCAUAAAAGGAACCAGGACAUUUUCUAAGAGAAACAUUAUUGCAAGGAUUUGAAUUAUCCCUGCUUGAAGGUCUCUUAUGGAACCAGAAGUCUAAACCAUCAGUAUUUGAAAGAUUUAAGGUCGGAAUUCCUUCCUCCCUUGGAGAAUUUUGGGGUAUUUAUGGUUUAGGAUCGAUAGCUAAAGGUUGGGAUUGAAGUGGUUGUGAUCUGGCUAUCGAAACUUCUUCUUCUUGUCUAGGAACUGGUUCUUUCUCUUUCGCAGGGAUAUAAAAGCUAGGAGACUUUCCACUCAUUAAAUCAAUCAAAUUCCAAGCUUCACUAGUAGGUAGGUGAUAGAAGGAUCCUCUAGAGGCUGUAUUCAAGGUUUGCUUAUUUUCCCCACUAAGGCCCUCAAAAAAUUGAAUAAGAAGAACUUCUUCUAGAAUAGAAAGCUUUGGGCCAGAGAGAGUAAGGUUAAUAAAGCGGUCCCAUGAUUUGCUAAGAGAUUCUUCGUCCAGUUGUCUAAAAGGAAUAAUCUCACGCCAAAGUUCCACCACUUUGGAGAUUGGAAAAUAUUUAAAAAGAAAACUAUUAUAUAACUCCUUCCAAUCUCCAUGAACACUCCCUACGUUGAGUUUAUACCAAUGUCUAGCUUUUCCUAUUAAAGAGAACGGAAAAAGCUUCCAUUUAAGGGUCUCAUCGGACAUGCCUUCUAUGAGAAGGAGGUCACAGACUCGAUAAAACUCUCUUAGGGGUGUGUAUGGGUUUUCCUCACCUUCUCCUGAGAAAGGUUGUUUUUGAACAAAUUCUAUGUAUUUGGGGUCUAUCUCAAAACUAGAUGCUAUGAUCGGCUUUGAAGAUUUUGGUGGUUCGAGAUGUAUGCCCGUAGGUCUAUGAAAUUCAUAGAUAGACAUGUUUGCAUUCAUGAUAGACCAGAAAUCAAGGAUUAGAUAAGAAGAAAGAAUAGCAGAGAUGAGGCAAAGGAUAAAAAAAAUAUAUUUAUUUUUAAUUUUUUUAGAAAAUCAUUAAGCUAGUUCGUAGUCAACUCAGCAACCGCUCCCUUGGCAACGGCACAAAAAAUGCUUGUUGACACUUGCUAACACCACUUGAAUACUAGGUUGUCAUCCCCAGCAUGGCACUAGAGUGUACUAUGGUAUUUAUACGCACACAGAUAAUCCUCAAGCGCACGGAUACCGAUGUAACUUUUACCCGAUUAAAGGUUUUAUCGUAUCCACAAGGAAAUGGGAGAACCAACUACGCUCUAACUUAACCAAGAUAGAUAGAUAAGUGUGAAUAGGAAAGAUGAUAGAAUUGAAUAAGAACAAUAUUAAAGGUAAGAUAACGAUGGGUGAUAAUAUGGGAAUAGAGAGUAGAGCAAUCUAAUAUAUGAGCGAUGGUAGCAGAAUAGAGAGGAUAACUAUGGUUUCUCUACUUCAAAGGGGUAUGUCUAUGUCUGGGACGAACCACGUGAUAAGAAUACACCACAAAGGAUGCUUAUCCAUAGGCCGAUAAACCCUACCCGUCCUGCUAACAAGAGGUGGACUACACAGGACCAACGUAACUGUCACCUACGCGGCCUACCACACGAUCCAGCUAGACAGGGGAUAUCCACAAGUAAUCUAGGUCUAAGCACCAUGCUUACACCUAUACUACAACUCUCACCUAUAGCGUCCUAUAGAUUAAAGUACUAAAAAGAGUUGUGAACCAGAACAUACAUGACUAGUAAUUGCAUAAUGAAUUACAAGUAGAUUACCAGAGUCAUCCCAUGAGCAAGCUUGAUAAGAGCUUGAUCAUGACGAAGUACAACCGGAGGAAGAACCGACAGGCCGGCCUCUCCAUCUCACUUAUAUCUCGAUCUACUCUAGUUUAGAGAUGAGAGGAGAGCUCUCAUCUCUAAACCCUAGCUUUUGCUCUGUCUAUGAAUAAUGAAUAAUGAUCAAGGGGUUCCUCCUCCAGGGGCCAGGGGGUCUGCUUAUAUAGUCCCCUCAAGUGAACCUGGGCCGUCGGAUCAAACCGACAUUGAUUGAACGAUUAUUCUUGAUCCUUUAGGUCGGUGGAGCAUAAUCCGCGAGAUUGAGCGUGAUUGGUUGAAACUCCAGAGCGGGCGCCCAAGGGGGAGGGCGGGCGCCCUGCCCCAGGCCUGUUCGGCCUCCCGUUCGUUCCCGUGGCUUCUGGAGUCUUCUAGAUGAUAAAAAAUUGCGCGGCACGUUAAUAUCUCUAUGUAAACCCGACGUGUGGGCCUUUCUUCCAUAUUUCCUAAUAACCCCCCACAGAAAUAGAUAAACACCAAAACUCAUAGAAUUCUGUCAGAUAACACCCUAAGUCUGGGUGUUGGUUGCAUUUGGAUCCUUUUCUUUAUUUAUUUGGUGAUUAUAUUUGGUACUUAAGGACCGUCAACAACUCCCCCAAGCUUACCUCUUGCUCGUCCCUGAGCAAGGAUGGACUCAAGAGUUUCUGCAGUGAUUUUAUGCCUUAAAGGUACACAUGCGUUCAAACAAGAUCUCAUCUCCAGGUUAAGGUAAAUUGUUAAGACUUAAACUUACUCAUAUUACCUUCCACCAUGGGGCUUGCAACCGUCACUUGUGUCUUGAGCAGUUAAAAGAUAGAACGGUCAAGUCAAGCACCAUGUCUCUUGUUCUUUGAUCAACUAUAGCUCUGGGGUUUUUGUAGAUUUUCAAAUAAAACUCAGAGAUUCCUUAUAUGACUCUCUCUAGUCUCUCUUUUGUGGUAUUUCUGGAUCCUUACCAAGGCAGUGAUGAUAUAUGCCUUCUCUCAAAGUAUGUAGUAUUUGUGGUAUGAGGCAUAGUGAUAUUGCCUUCUCUCUCACCCUACUCUAAUAAGGUUUGAUAUCUGGAGCUCAUAGGUGGGAGACAGCUAAUACAUACUUACAAGACAUUUAUUGCAUAGUCAAACCAUGGAUCCAGAGAAACAAGUCAAUAAGUCAAAUCAAGAUGUGCAUGUGUGGUGGAUGAAUGGUGUAUGGUGAUGAUGGUGAUAAUGGUGAAAAUAAUGGUGAAAGUCUAAUUCUACUUUUGCUCUUUUGAGGGGAUACAUGCCAUUCUUGUACUUUGAAGGUUUUUGAGAGGAAUGAGAUGCUCUAUAUUUUAUUUUUCUUUUCUCUCAGGUGGGUAUCUUGUACCCCUUUUUAUUUCCUCAUAUUCACUUUUUUUUUCAGAGCACUCACCCUCCGAGAAUAAUGUAGCAAGUGGUAGUAACCAAAAUAUCAAGAGCAUUUAUUUCACGGGGAAUAACAGGAAUAGGAUAAUGUUUUUGGCUAUUCUCUCCUGGAUAGGAGUAGAAUAAUUUUAGGUGAAUCUGGAGAUGGAAAGGAGUGGAUGUAUGUGGAUGCGUACUUCCAGAGUAGAAGCAGCAUGUAUGAGUGAACGUGAGAGUGAAUCUUGAUUUUAAUCGCAUGACAAGCUCCUAAGGGUCUACACAGCUUGACCACACUCAAUGCUCAUAAGCAGUAAAAAGUAAAUGUGUAGUUCAUUGUCUAAUAAGCAUGUAUAUAUGGCUGUGGUAGGAUUUUAAACUCUCAUCAUACAGGAACUCAUCAUGCAACAUUUUAAAGAUUUUCAAAUAAAAUUCUCCAGAAUUCUAGCAUCUCUAAGAACAGAUAAACAGCAGCUCAACCUUUCCAUAUCAUAUCCGUUAAUGACUUAGACUUUAGACCAAGUACUCUUCCCACAAGUUUAGGUUUAGAGCAAAUCUUAAUUCAUAACAGUCAUGCCUAAACUUGAGAGAGAAUUCAAUUUUGAGAACUAGUCAUGGCAGAGCAACUAUUCAUCAUUUCCAUGUGAGAGCUUAUCACAAGGGUUCAUAGCAAACUUUAUUUAUUUAUUUACGUAUUUAGCAAGCAAAGCAAAGAUAUAUAUAAGCACAAAAUCUUUAUUUGGGUUUUUAUGAUUAUGCAUCUUUUUAUUAUUUGAGUAAAGUAUAAACACGAGUAGAAACACUUAGCUAGAUAAAUGGGGGUGCUCUCCUCCAAGCUGGAUUUUGACGUAAUUUCUUCUAAUAUAUGAGUGAUGGUAGCAGAAUAGAGAGGAUAACUAUGGUUUCUCUACUUCAAAGGGGUAUGUCUAUGUCUGGGACGAACCACGGGAUAAGAAUACACCACAAAGGAUGCUUAUCCAUAGGCCGAUAAACCCUACCCGUCCUGCUAACAAGAGGUGGACUACACGGGACCAACGUAACUGUCACCUACGCGGCCUACCACACGAUCCAGCUAGAUAGGGGAUAUCCACAAGUAAUCUAGGUCUAAGCACCACGCUUACACCUAUACUACAACUCUCACCUAUAGCGUCCUAUAGAUUAAAGUACUCAAAAGAGUUGUGAACCAGAACAUACAUGAUUAGUAAUUGCAUAAUGAAUUAGAAGUAGAUUACCAGAGUCAUCCCAUGAGCAAGCUUGAUUAGAGCUUGAUCAUGACGAAGUACAACUGGAGGAAGAACCGACAGGCCGGCCUCUCCUCCAAUCCUCCCUCGCUCUCCAUCUCGCUACUAUCUAGAUCUACUCUAGUUUAGAGAUGAGAGGAGAGUUCUCAUCUCUAAACCCUAGCUUUUGCUCUGUCUAUGAAUAAUGAAUAAUGAUCAAGGGGUGCCUCCUCCAGGGGCCAGGGGGUCUGCUUAUAUAGUCCCCUCAAGUGAACCUGGGCCGUCGGAUCGAACCGACACUGAUUAUACGGUUAUUCUUGAUCCUUUAGGUCGGUGGAGCAUAAUCCGCGAGAUUGAGCGUGAUUUGUUGAAACUCUAGGGCGGGCGCCCAAGGGGGGAGGGUGGGCGCCCUGCCCCCAGGCCCGUUCGGCCUCCCGUUCAUUCCCGUGGCUUCUGGAGUCUUCUAGAUGAUAGAAAAUUGCACGGCACGUUAAUAUCUCUUUGUAAACCCGACGUGUGGGCCUACCUUCCACCAUGGGGCUUGCAACAGUCACUUAUGUCUUGAGCAGUUAAAAGAUAGAACGGUCAAGUCAAGCACCAUGUCUCUUGUUCUUUGAUCAACUAUAGCUCUGGGGUUUUUGUAGAUUUUCAAAUAAAACCCAGAGAUUCCUUGUAUGACUCUCUCUAGUCUCUCUUUUGUGGUAUUUCUGGAUCCUUACCAAGGUAGUGAUGAUAUACGCCUUCUCUCAAGUAUGUAGUAUUUGUGGUAUGAGGCAUUAGUGAUAUGCCUGUCUCUCUCACCCUACUCUAAUAAGGUUUGAUAUCUGGAGCUAAUAGGUGGGAGACAUCUAAUACAUACUUACAAGACAUUUAUUGCAUAGUCAAACCAUGGAUCCAGAGAAACAAGUCAAUAAGUCAAAUCAAAAUGUGCAUGUGUGGUGGAUGAAUGGUGUAUGGUGAUGAUGGUGAUAAUGGUGAAAAUAAUGGUGAAAGUCUAAUUCUACUUUUGCUCUUUUGAGGGGAUACGUACCUUUCUUGCACUUUGAAAGUUUUUGAGAGGAAUGAGAUGCUCUAUAUUUUCUUUUUAUUUUCUCUCAGGUGCGUAUCUUGUACCCCUUUUUAUUUCCUCGUAUUCACUUUUUUUCAGAGCACUCACGCUCCUAGAAUAAUGUUGCAAGUGGUAGUAACCAAAAUAUCAAGAGCAUUUAUUUUACGGGGAAUAACAAGAAUAGGAUAAUGUUUUUGGCUAUUCUCUCCUGGAUAGGAGUAGAAUAAUUUUAGGUGAAUCUGGAGAUGGAAAGGAGUGGAUGUAUGUGGAUGCGUACUUCCAGAGUAGAAGCAGCAUGUAUGAGUGAACGUGCAAGUGAAUCUUGAUUUUAACCGCAUGACAAGCUCCUAAGGGCCUACACAGCUUGACCACACUCAAUGCUCAUAAGCAGUAAAAAGGAAAUGUGUAGUUCAUUGUCUAAUAAGCAUGUAUAUAUGGCUGUGGUAGGAUUUUAAACUCUCAUCAUAAAGGAAAUCAUCAUGCAACAUUUUAAAGAUUUUCAAAGAUAAAAUUCUCCAGAAUUCUAGGAUCUCUAAGAACAGAUAAACAACAGCUCAACCUUUCCAUAUCAUAUCCGUUAACGACUUAGACUUUAGAUCAAGUACUCUUCCCACAAGUUUAGGUUUAGAGCAAAUCUUAAUUCUUAACAGUCAUGCCUAAACUUGAGAGCGAAUUCAAUUUUGAGAACUAGUCAUGGCAGAGCAACUAUUCAUCAUUUCCAUGUGAGAGCUUAUCACAAGGGUUCAUAGCAAACUUUAUUUAUUUAUUUACAUAUUUAGCAAACAAAGCAAAGAUAUAUAUAAGCACAAAAUCUUUCUUUGGGUUUUUAUGAUUAUGCAUCUUUUUAUUAUUUGAGUAAAGUAUAAACGCGAGUAGAAACACUUAGCUGGAAAAAUGGGGGUGCUCUCCCCCAAGCUGGAUUUUGACGUAAUUUCUUCUAAUAUAUGAGCGAUGGUAGCUGAAUAGAGAGUUUAAGUAUGGUUUCUCUACUUCAAAGGGGUAUGUCUAUGUCUGGGACGAACCACGUGAUAAGCAUACAACACAAAGGAUGCUUAUCCAUAGGCCGAUAAACCCUACCCGUCCUGCUAACAAGAGGUGGACUACACGGGACCAACGUAACUGUCACCUACGCGGCCUACCACACGAUCCAGCUAGACAGGGGAUAUCCACAAGUAAUCUAUGUCUAAGCACCACGCUUACACCUAUACUACAACUCUCACCUAUAGCGUCCUAUAGAUUAAAGUACACAAAAGAGUUGUGAACCAGAACAUACAUGAUUAGUAAUUGCAUAAUGAAUUAGAAGUAGAUUACCAGAGUCAUCCCAUGAGUAAGCUUGAUUAGAGCUUGAUCAUGACGAAGUACAACCGGAGGAAGAACCGACAGGCCGGCCUCUCCUCCAAUCCUCCCUCGCUCUCCAUCUCGCUACUAUCUAGAUCUACUCUAGUUUGGAGAUGAGAGGAGAGCACUCAUCUCCAAACCCUAACUUUUGCUCUGUCUAUGAAUAAUAAAUAAUGAUCAAGGGGUGCCUUCUCCAGGGGCCAGGGGGUCUGCUUAUAUAGUCCCCUCAAGUGAACCUGGGCCGUUGGAUCAAACCGACAUUGAUUGAACGGUUAUUCUUGAUCCUUUAGGUCGGUGGUGCAUAAUCCACGAGAUUGAGCGUGAUUGGUUGAAACUCCAGAGCGGGCGCCCAAGGGGCGAGGGCGGGCGCCCUGCCCCCGGGCCCGUUCGGCCUCCCGUUCGUUUCCGUGGCUUCUGGAGUCUUCUAGAUGAUAGAAAAUUUCACGGCACGUCAAUAUCUCUAUGUAAACCCGAUGUGUGGGCCUUUCUUCCGUAUUUCCUGAUAACCCCCUGCAGAAAUAGAUAAACACCAAAACUCAUGGAAUUCUGUCAGAUAAAACCCUAAGUCUGGGUGUUGGUUGCAUUUGGAUCCUUUUCUUUAUUUAUUUGAUGAUUAUAUUUGGUACUUAAGGACCGUCAACACCGAUAUAAUUCAAGAGUAUCAUACCUAUAAUAAAGUAUUCAUUCACAAAUUAAAUAAGUUGGCAUGCUAUCCACUCUUUACUUUGACUUCUCAUGGGGCCUAUAGCAUUUCCAAGUUCUUGGGUGGUUGCAAGAUAGAAUGGUUGUAACAGACUCACCAUUUAUUCAUCCCUUGAUAGACCAUCAAUCCGGAGGUUUUAUAAUUUUUUGCAAAAUAAAUAAGUUCCUUGAAUGAUUCUCUCGAUCGCUCAAUGUGUAUGAAAUCCUCACCAAAGGCAUUUGUGUUUGACUUUAAGACCUACCACUAAGGCUGAGAAUGGAGCUUUGGGAAGCUAUUAAGGGUGGGCGUACUUAAGACACUUGUGUUGCCAAGUCAAAGCCCAGACCAUGAGGAGGUACAAGUCAUACACCUUGAUUCAGAUGUGCAAGUGUGUGGGAUUUUUUUUGGUGGUAGUCCUAUCUAAAUAUUUUUGGUUACUCCUUGUAUCAUGACUCUCUUUAGUUGAGGAAGAGAAUGAGAGAAUGUAAACAUAUGGACCCUAAAAAAAUGGAUCAUAUAUAUAUAUAUAUAUUUUUUCUGAUGGGGAUUUUGAUUUUCCCGUCCAUGCCCUUUGGCUUUUCCUUCAUUUUUUUCAUGGAUAACUGAUGCCCACAUGUUUCAAAGGGAUCUCAAAGAGGAAAAUGGAGAGAUGUCAUGAUGGUGAUGUAAGGAGUAAAAUUGUGUAUGGGGAUGCGCAACCCUCAGGGUGAGAGUUUGGCAUACUUAUUUGGUGGAAGCUAAGGCGCAACUCUCAGGGUAAGAGUUAACAUAUUUUGGUGGAUGGAAGGGUGCAUGUUGUGCACAACUUCUCAGUGUGAGAGUCGGCUUUAUUUGUGGGUGCGUGAAUCUCAUAUCAUGGGUGCAUGACCAUAAUCUCACUCUAGGAUACCUAGGAUUUGACUCAACUCAAAGCGCCGCAUGCCGCAUAUGACUAAAGGUGUACAAACUACUAAGCAAGUCAUAUGGCCUUGGUAGGUAUUUCAUAAUCAUUGAGGAACUCUUUGUUUUGAAUUUUUGAAAAGAAAACUCCGGAUAUCAAGUUUCUCUUAGAACAAAGUCAUAGCAAAAUCUAUUUAUACCAUAUCAUGUCUCGCAACAACUUAGAAAAGGAUCAUGCAUUUGCAACCCACAAGAUUUCAAGUUCUCAGAAUGAGACAUUUUUAGCCAACAAACUUAAAUCUUGAUGAACACUAAAUUAUAACUUAGAUACUAGAGAAUUAUAGACAGAGCAACUAUUCAUCAUUUCAAUAGAAGAGUAACUAACAUAUCAUAGCACACAUGAGAGUGGAAUUUUUUUGAAAGAUGAUGAAAAAUUGCUGAAAUUUAAAUAGUAAAAUUAAGAACUAAAAUUAAGUGCAAGAAUGUAAGAUACAUGUUACCUAUUGUGGGGGUCCUCCCCCAAGUUAGCUCACUGCUGCGGUCCAGGGAAAUGUCCCAUGGAUCGCAGGUAGGCCAUUUGUGCCUCGUGCCGGUGACGGCUCGCAUCCUCAAGGUCGAUGAAGCUCUACUGGCUCUACCGAUGCCAUUGGGUAGCAGUCUGGAUGUGGGCAUUCAGCGUACCUUGGAUCUGCCUGUUCUGGAGCUCUAGUCCUCCAGUGUGAGUGUUGAGGACGUCCAGUGUGACCUGAGGGCUGUUGAUAUUUGAGAACGCAAUAAGGAAUUGAUCCGCAAGCGCAUGGAUAUCGGUGAGCACUUCACCCGGGAGGUUAUCCAGAGUAUCGUAUUUAUUUUUUUACCACUAGGAGAAAGAGUGCAUCUGACUAACCCGGUCUAUUACUACUAACCCUUUAGGCAACAAAGAAUGUUUCUCGAUGUGAGUGAUGAAUAGAGAAGACUACAACCGUAAUCUCCUUCUAACCUUGGUAAGGUUGAUCUACUGUUCUAUUGGGGAGGCUAACGGAAUCUAGACACCACAAAGGAUGUUCAACCCACACCUAUAAACCCUAUCCUUCCUGCUAACAAGAUAUGGUCUGCAAAAGUAACUCGAAAAUGUCACAUUCCUCGCUACUACCACGGUCUAGCUAGUCAGGGAAUAUCUAUGAGUAUCCUAGCUUAAACACCACGUCUACGCUAGAGAUGAUUACUCUAAACUCUACGCGAAGAGAUUAAAGUAAACUCAUAAACCAAAAGAACAAUAAAACAAGAACUUACUAGAAUUUAGAAGUCGAAAUACUGAAGAAUCCUAGGAGCAAGCCUCGGGUUAGGAGAACUCGAUACCGCAGGUACAAGCUCGGAGUAGACACCGACAGGCCGGGCUUCCUCCGGUCUACACAUCCACUCUAUCUCUCUCAAUCUAGUAGAAACUAGAAGAUCUAUUUCUACUCACAUUGGAUGCUAAGCCUAAAAAGAAAUUUUAUUUAGAGAAGAGGUUUUCCUUCGAGGGCUCCCCUCAACUCUAUGAUAAACUUGUCUCCUCCAGGGGCCAGGGGGUCUUGUUUUAUAGUCCCCUCAAGUGAACGUGAGCCAUUGGAUCAAACCGACAUUGAUUGGACGGUUAUCCUUGAUCCUUUAGGUCGGUGGAGCGUCGUGUGCGAAAAGAGUCCUGAUUGGCAUCCAACAGAGGGCGGGCGCCCAGGUCAACUGGGCGGGCGCCCAGGGCCUGGCUCCGUUCGGCCUCUGCAUCCUUCCUGUGGCUUCUAGAGUCUUCUAGAUUGUAGAAAAUUGCGUGGUGAGUUGAUAUCUCUAUGUAAUCCCGACAUGUGGGCCUUUCUUCCUUAUUUCCUGAUAACCCCCUGCAGAAACAGAUAAACAACAAAACUCGUGGAAUUCUGUCAGAUCAAACCCUAAUUCUAGGUGUUGUUUGUAUAUUGGUCAUUUCUCUUGUUUAUUUGAUAAUUAAAAUUGAUACUUAAGAACCGUCAACAAAUACCCCCAUACUUAGGCUUUUACUCGUCCUCGAGAAAGGGAUGGUUAAGAACAAUAUCUGGGGUAAAACAUUUUAAAAAUAUUCUCUUCAUAACUGCAGGAUGUUAAAAUCCACUGUGAACUAUAGUCAGGAAAGUAUAUGGUUAAGAGUAGAGAUCCUUUCUUCUCAAUCAUGUCACUUGGAGUUUUUGUAUAUUUUUGAAAGAAAGUUAGCAUACCUUUUAUCCUCAUAGGUUCUCUCAGAUCACUUAUUUAUCUUUUAUAUAUAUCUCACUGAGGCUGUUUUAAUUUGCAAAAAUUCUCAAGCAUACUUACCUUGUAUUUAUUGCCUGAUCAAAACGGGAUCCGAGGAGGGGAAUGUCAUACUCUUAGAUCAAAGACUUUAGAAAUAAAAAUAUUUGUCAACUCUUGCUGUCAUAUUGCUUAUUAGAGGGACCAUGGGCUAUCAUUUUCUUUUUCUUCUUUUUUUUAAGUGGAUACCAAGGUACCCCUAAUUCUACUGCCGGACACUAGUCCAUUUUUUCUGCGAGGUUGUCAAGCACUUGCUCCUUUUUUAUUUCCACGAAAUAUCUUUAUUUUUGCAUAGCCCAUGCCUAAUGCAAUAAUACUUCGGAAGAGUGAAUCUUUCUGAAUAAAUGUCUUGAUCUUAGGAGCAUGAUAAAUCUCUCAACAUGGGUCUAACUCAUUUUGAACAAACUAAAUACAGAGUAGAUAGCCUUUAUAAUCAUAAUUAAUAUUUUCAGUUUUAUCAGGCAUAUAAAACACUGAGGAUGGUAGCUAGAAUUUUGAAGAUUUUGAAAUAAAUUCUCCAAGCAACAAUGAUAUCUAGAAUAAGAAACUCAUACUUUACCAUCUCACAUUCCAUACUGACUUAAGUAACACAGGGUUUUAAAAUGAUUUUAUAAUAGUUGUAAGUUUUCAGGAAAUAUCACAGAGUGAGAUUAAUCAUAAUUAGAAACAUUUUAAUCUUUAUCAUGUCAGAAACAAUAUUUUGCAUAAUCCAAGAUAUGUGUAUGUGUAAAGUGUGCAGAGUAUGUACUGUAGUCGAAGUGUGUUUGGCGUGUCGAGGGAUCUCCCCCAUACUUGUUUUCUACUUUCUUGCACAAGAAUAAAGUAGAGACACACAAGACAUAAUAAUAAUAAUAAUAAUAAUAAUAAUAAUAAUAAUAAUAAUAAUAAUAAUAAUAAUAAUAAUAAUAAUAAUAAUAAUAAUAAUAAUAAUAAUAAUAAUACUCUUUAUUAAUCUUGAGGCAUUUAUUACAACUGACUGGUAGCAAACUGACGAAAACAGUAGCAAACUGACAAUAAUAGUAAACCUAAACCGAAUUUAAAGAUAAAUGACUAAGAUGCAUUGCCUCAAUGUCUAAUCUAGAUAACUUAGUGACACUCUAAUUCGUUAAUCUUCUUAUUGACACUGGCAAGAUCCUGCCUAAGGCGUAGUAUAACGGUGUUGUGGUUAGAGAGCUGCCUAGUGAGGGAAUUAAUCGAGGACUGGAGUUCUAUGAUAACUCUGUCUAGCCUGCGAACGUCCUCAUCAAUAUCUACUAUAGUCUUGCGACGCUUGGGAGGUGUCUCAAAAGCAUUGAGAGCAUGCUUCGGGGCUGCCUUUGGAGAGAUGAAACGGACUUUGGCUGCUCUAAUCCCUUCAAAGUAAGGCCUUUCCUCCUCCGUAGUGUAGCGAAUGCUGCUGAUCUCACCGCUCUGGUUGGUCUUGACUCCAACGACCCUCUCAUUGGGUCUAGGUGGAAGGAUCAUCGUGCUGGUUGGCACCUUGAUGGUGGUCUUCAUCUUAGAUGAUGAUCCUUUGAGGAGUAGGGGUUGUGGUGGUGCGGUGAGAACUGGUUGAGCAUGAUGGGAUUGGGCGGAGCUGCGUUGGCGUAAUGGCAUGACUUCUAGCUGUCGCUCUGUGUUGGCCGGGACGAGAGCACGGGCAUCGGGGUCUUCCGCAGGCUCCAUGUUGAGGUUGAAGGGGACGACUUCCCAAUCAUCGUGGAACUUCUCGGCCAUUGGAGCAGCGAGGAACUAAACAAGCUCUAAUUGAAGAAGAAGAAGAAGAGAAGGCUUGGUGGAUUGGUGUUUGAAAACUGAUGUCAGGGGUCUGUUUAUAUAGGGGUCAAAAAGUGCCUCUAGGGGUUGUUCUGGUUGCUCCCUUCGAUGUGCGUGAGAAACUUUCCAUCUGAGGGAUUAUUCGGAUUACCAUAAGUGCAUUUUCCAUAACAGAGAAAAUCAGGACAGAGGGGGAACAGGAGCUGGGCACCCGCCCACUUGAUCAGGGCGCCCACCCUCUCUCUGUCUCCUCUGUGGGCACGCUUCCUCGAGCGUGUUUCUAGAUGCAGACUUAAUUAGGAAUAUAUAUAUAUAUGACCCAAAAACAUCAGACUAAAAAGGUCGGGCUCUAAUUCUCCAUGGGAAGAAAAAAAUGGAUUACGUGUAUUUCUUCUAAUUCUUUAUUGGGCUCUAAAAACAAUUUAAGACGUUGACCAUUUACCUUGAAUAACGUACCUUCAUCGUUUUGAAGUGUGAUAGCUCUGUGGGAUAAUGACUUAAUUACCUUGAAUGGUCCUUCCCAUUUGCUCCGGAGUUUUCCAUGCCCGAAAAAGCUUCACCCUGAAAUUAAAAAGUAAUACCUUAUCUCCGGGUGUGAAUUCCUUCUUCUUGAUUCUCUUGUCAUGCCACCUUUUGACUCUUUCUUUGUAGAUCUUCAAAUUGUGAUAUGCUUUCUCUCGCCAUUCCUCCAAUUCUUAUAGUUGCAUUCUUCUAUGAUCUCCAGCAACAUCUAGGUCCAUAUUCCAUCUCUUUACGGCCCAGUGUGCUUUGAACUCUAGUUCAACAGGUAGGUGGCAAGUCUUCCCGUACACCAAUUGGUAUGGAGACAUUCCAAUCGGGGUCUUGUAUGCUAUCCGGUAUGCCCAGAGUGCAUCGAGUAACUUGUCUUUCCACGCCAUUCCCAUUUCAUUUACUGUCUUCUGAAGAAUAUUCUUGAUUUGCUUGUUGGAAGUCUCUGCUUGGCCACAUGUCUGAGGAUGAUAGGGGGUAGCGACGUUGGGACGGAUUCCAUGCUUUGAUAGAUAUUGCUUGAAUCGUUUAUCGAUGAAGUGUGCUCCUCCAUCACUUAUCACUACUCUGGGGACUCCAAAUCUUGGAAAUAUAAUUUCUUCAAACAUCCUCUUUGAACUGAUGUUGUCGGUAUGCUUGCAAGGUAAUGCCUCUGCCGACUUGGAGACGUAGUCAAGUGCCACCAAGAUUUACUCACACAUCUUUGAUGGAGGAAAUGGACCCAUAUAGUCUAUUCCCCAGACAUCAAAGAGCUCAAUCUGAAGGUUGUUGGUGAGUGGCAUUGCAUCCCUUGUAUUUAUGUUUCCGUGCCUUUGACAUGGCCCACAUCUUCUGAUAUAUUGCUUCGCGUCUUCAUACAUUGUAGGCCAGUAGAAUCCACACUGCCAGAUCUUUGAAUGUGUACGGAAUGCUCCAUAGUGACCUCCAUAUGGCGAUGAAUGACAUCUGUCGAUGAUCUUCCAUCCUUCCUCAGUGGUCACACAUCUCUUGAGUAAGCCAUCAGAGCAUACUCGGAAGAGGUAUGGCUCAUCCCAUAUAUGUGAAUGACUUUCUUGAAUAAGCUUUUUCUUGUUUGCUCCUGGUGGUACAUACCCUAAAACCAUAAAAUUAACAAUAUCUGCAUACCAGGGGUCAGACCUGUUAAUCCCAUAAAGCAUGUCGUCCCGGAGUGAAUCAUUGAUGGGGGUUUCCUGUGGACUCUUAAAAUACAUUCUAGACAAGUGAUCUGCAAUAGAAUUUUCUACUCCCUUUUUAUCUUUUAUUUCUAAGUCAAAUUCUUGGAGUAAUAAGAUCCAUCUAAUCAGGCGAGGUUUAGUAUCUUUUUUAGUGAGCAAAUAUUUUAGUGCAGCAUGAUCAGUGUAAACAAUUAUUUUAGCUCCAACUAAAUAAGAUCUAAAUUUAUCAAUGGCAAAGACAAUAGCCAGAAGCUCUUUUUCAGUGGUUGCAUAGUUAAGUUGAGCUCCUGCCAAAGUUUUACUGGCAUAAGCAAAUGCAUGAUGCUUCUUAUUUUUAGUUUGUCCCAAUACUGCCCCCACAGCAUAAUCACUAGCAUCACAUAUAAUUUCAAAAGGCAACGAACAAUCAGGGGGUUGAAUGAUUGGUGCAGAGAUGAGUGCUUUCUUUAAUAAAUUAAAAGAUGUUAGACAUGCAUCACCAAAUUCGAAAGGAGCAUCCUUGGCUAGCAAAAGAGUAAGUGGUCUAUCAAUGAAUGAAAAAUCUUUUAUGAAUCAACGAUAAAAACCAGUAUGGCCAAGAAAGCUUCAAAUUCCUUUUAUAUUCACAGGUGGAGGUAGUUGUUCAGUUACUUCAGUUUUAGCUUUGUCUACCUCAAUACCUCUUUUAGACACUAGGUGUCCCAGCACUAUUCCUUCCCUAACCAUGAAAUGACAUUUUUCCCAAUUAAGGACUAAGUGCUUUUCUUCACAUCUUUGCAAAACCUUGUCUCAGUUUUCAAGACAACUAUCAAAAGUUUUUCCAUAAAUAGAGAAAUCAUCCAUGAAAACUUUCAUAAUGUCUUCAAUCAUAUCAGAAAAUAUAGACAUCAUGCAUCUUUGAAAAAAGCUGGUGCAUUACAUAACCCAAAAGACAUUCUACGGUAAGCAUAAGUUCCAUAUGGGCAUGUAAAAGUGGUUUUGCUUUGAUCAUCAGGAUGGAUCGGGAUCUGAUGAUACCCUUAAUAUCCAUCUAAGAAACACAAGAAUGAAUGGUUCGCUAAUCGCUCUAGCAUCUCAUCUAUGGAAGGUAAAGGAAAGUGAUCCUUUCUCGUGGCUUUGCUUAGUUUUCUAUAGUCUAUGCACAUCCGCCAUCCUGUGACGGUGCCUUGCGGAAUUAGCUCGUUCUUUUCAUUCAUAAUAACAGUCAUGCCUCCCUUUUUAGCCACAACUUGUACUGGGCUUACCCACUCACUGUGCGGCACAGGAUAUAUAAUCCCUACAUGCAGCGACUUUAUAGCUUCCUUUUUAACUACCUCUCUCAUAGUGUUGUUAAGUCUACGUUGGGGUUCCCGAGAAGGUGAAACAGAAGGAUCUGUUGGAAUACGAUGGGUACAAAUCAUAGGACUGAUUCCUAUAAGAUCUUGGAGUGAGUAGCCAAAAACUGAGUGAUGUUUCUCAAGAAUGGUCAUUAAUCGCAGAGUUUGCUCCUGAGUGAGUUUAUCGCUAAUGAUCAUAGGAAACUCUGGAUUAUUGUUUAGGAAAGCAUAGAUAAGACCAGGUGGUAAAGUUUUAAGCUCUAUGGGGGGUCUAGGUGUUUCUACAAACUCAUCUAAGGGUUGGAGUUUCGUCUUCUAAGUCUGAUUCUUCUAAAAGUUCAAGAGAUGCAGCUUUACCUCCUCCAUAGGAUCAGGCAAAAGAUAUGACUCGGCCUUAUUAUUCAAAGAGUGUGAAAUUGUUAUUGGGAUUUUAAAAGCUUUUCCAAAAGAAAUGUGUAGCUUUCCAGUAUGACCUUCAUAAAGGAGUCUUCUAAAAGGUUGUCCUAUCAACAGGUCGAAGUCCCAUGUAUCAAAGAUAUAGAAGUUCAAAUGAACCAUGGAGCCUUCUACCGUAAGAGGUAGGACAUUAAUAAUUCCAAGACUGGGGACUAAUCGUCCCAAAGAUUCCUUUAUGACCUUUGUUGUGGGGGUUAAGACAAGAUUUUUAAAUAGUUUAAGUGCAAAAGAUUUAGACAUGAUGUUGAUCCCCACAACAGGAUUAUAAAGAGCAUUAAAUCGAUCAGAAUUAUAGGCACAACGUAUAGUUAUAGAGGGUUUGUCCAAACGGAUCACAUCAGAGGAAAGCUCCGAUUCCUCCAACCACUCGCUACUCAUGACUGAGAUAAGCUCUCUCAAUUGAUAUUCACUUGGCAAAUAAAUGCUAAACUGGUCGUUUUGGGGUUUGUCAAUAGAAUGGUAGUUUGAAAGGUUUCCAAAAUCGGCAAAAAGAUCGGAUUCUAUAUGCAGCAUGAAGUCCGGUGGUGGAAUUUCUUCCUCUUGUGGCUCAGAACAUGGGAUAGCUAAAGUAGAUGAAGAAUUUGGCAGAGUGUCUACUUCGGCUUCGUAGGUUUCAUCAUGAAGGGUAUUAUCCAUCUCAGCUUCUAGGAUUCUAUCUAGGAUCACUCUAGCUUCAUCAGUAGAAAUGUGAAAGAAAGAACCUCUAGACAUUGUGUGUAGCAUUUGUUUGUGAUUUUUCUGAAGACCUCGAAAAAAGUUAAAUAAAAGAACAGGGUCUUCAAGAUUAAGGUUUGGACUAGAUCUAAAAGAUCAGAAAAACGUUUCUAGGAUUUUCCCAAAGUUUCAUUAUCUUUUUGUUUAAAAGAUAGGACUUCGAGUCUAAGGUCGCCGAUACGGUCGAGGGAAUAGAAAUCUAGACAAAAGUUGGCUCGUAAAACUCCCCAUUCACUUCAUUGUUGACUUACCUUCUGACUGUACCAUUGUCUAGCUUCUCCCCUUAAGGAAAAAGAAAAAAGCUUCUAACAUAAAGUUUUAUCAGAAAUGCCUUCAAUGCAAAGACAAUCACAUGUUUGCUCAAAAUCUCUAAUAUGAAGGUAAGGGUUUUCGUCUUCCUUUCCCGAAAAAGAUAGGUUUUGAAUCAUGGAAAUCAACCUAGAACUUAACCUGUACUGGGAUGUUUGGAUAGGCUGUGAUGACUCCCAUGGUAAAAGGUCAGUUUCUGAAGGUGUUGCAAAUUUGUAGAUUGAUUUAGAAUCUUGGUUUUCCAUAAGGUAAGAGUAAAGAAAAUAAAUACAGAAUAUAAAAGAUAAGAAAAGAUAAAAGUAUAGAUACAAGCUAAUAGUAAGACUCAAGGUUAUCUCAGCAAACCAUCUUUCUCUCCGACAACGGCGCCAGAAAUGCAUGUUGAUAUUUGGGAACGCAAUAAGGAAUUGAUCCGCAAGCGCACGGAUAUCGGUGAGCACUUCACCCGGGAGGUUAUCCAGAGUAUCGUAUUUAUUUUUUUACCACUAGGAGAAAGAGUGCAUCUGACUAACCCGGUCUAUUACUACUAACCCUUUAGGCAACAAAGAAUGUUUCUCGAUGUGAGUGAUAAAUAGAGAAGACUACAACCGUAAUCUCCUUCUAACCUUGGUAAGGAUGAUCUACUGUUCUAUUGGGGAGGCUAACGGAAUCUAGACACCACAAAGGAUGUUCAACCCGCACCUAUAAACCCUAUCCUUCCUGCUAACAAGAUAUGGUCUGCAAAGGUAACUCGAAAAUGUCACGUUCCUCGCUACUACCACGGUCUAGCUAGUCAAGGAAUAUCUAUGAGUAUCCUAGCUUAAACACCACGUCUACGCUAGAGAUGAUUACUCUAAACUCUACGCGAAGAGAUUAAAGUAAACUCAUAAAGCAAAAGAACAAUAAAACAAGAACUUACUAGAAUUUAGAAGUCGAAAUACUGAAGAAUCCUAGGAGCAAUCCUCGGGUUAGGAGAACUUGAUCCCGCAGGUACAAGCUCGGAGUAGACACCGACAGGCCGGGCUUCCUCCGGUCUACACCUCCACUCUAUCUCUCUCAAUCUAGUAGAAACUAGAAGAUUUUUUUUUGUACUCACAUUGGAUGCUAAGCCUAAAAAGAAAUUUUAUUUAGAGAAGAGGUUUUCCUUCGAGGGCUCCCCUCAACUCUAUGAUAAACUUGUCUCCUCCAGGGGCCAGGGGGUCUGGUUUUAUAGUCCCCUCAAGUGAACAUGAGCCAUUGAAUUAAACCGACAUUGGUUGGAUGGUUAUCCUUGAUGCUUUUGGUCGGUGGAGCGUCGUGUGCAAAAAGAGUCCUGAUUGGCAUCCAACAGAGGGCGGGCGCCCAGGUUAACUGGGCGGGCGCCCAGGGCCUGGCUCCAUUCGGCCUUUGCUUCCUUCCUGUGGCUUCUGGAGUCUACUAGAUGGUAGAAAAUUUCACGGUGCGUUGAUAUCUCUAUGUAAUCAUGACAUGUGGGCCUUUCUUCCUUUUUUCUUGAUAACCCCCAGCAGAAACAGAUAAACAACAAAACUAGUGGAAUUCUGUCAGAUCAAACCCUAAUUCUAGGUGUUGUUUUUAUAUUGGUCCUUUCUCUUGUUUAUUUGAUAAUUAAAAUUGAUACUUAAGAACCGUCAACAAGGGCGAACAGGGGGUAGCAUUCCCUCAGAAUCUGAGGAGUGUCCUAGCUCGAGAUGCCUGGAUCCCCCUACCCAAUAUGCCUCCGGCUCGCUUGGGCUUGCACCUCCGUGCGCAUGCCAGCUCGACUCUCCUGCCUGUCAGCUCGAACCUUUAGCCUUGUAGGGGUGAGCAACGUAUCCCAUACCAUAUCCAUAUCUAGGGGUAAAUCCGGGCGUAGGUAUAGCAGGGGUCCAUCCCAUCCCUGGCAUAGGUGGUUGUGGAGUGUGCUGUGCUGGCUGUGCGGAUGGUGCUGGCAGUCCUGCCUGUGCUGCCCUUGCUGCUUGUGCUGCCUACUCUUCUUCUUCCCUCCUCCGUGAGUUCUGCAAGAAACAGAGCUCCUGCGUCCACCUUCCCUAUCAAUGAGGGUGAAGGUGAGUGAUGGGGAAUUGUACAGAGCGAGAUCCGGGUUAGGUUACUGGAUCUCGUUUGUAUAUCCCGGAAAAUAAUAUAAAAUCUUUUUACCAAUUUCGUCGCGUUUAAUCAUAUGUGCAUGUGAAAUAUAUGAUUCAUUAAUCAUGAUACAAGGAGUAGUGAUGUAAAUAAUGGUAUUAGCAGCAUGGGGAUCAACACUUGCAGUAAGGCGAGUAAUAAGAGAUGUGCACAUGAUAGCAGUUGAAGUUUUAAUGGAACGCAACAAAUGAUUAACAAGCUCAACAAUAGGUGCAACCUUAAUCUUUUUGAGCACAGCAUAAAGCAACUUCAACUCUAUGUCGUAAGUAAGAUGCGUAUUAUCUCUUGAAAAGAACGAACUAGUGAUCCACUUAUGGAGAAUCCUCAAAGUGGGUUGAUGGAUGUUGGCAGAAUGCCCCUGGAACUUUCCAACGACGUGUUGCCCCGAGAUCAAAUGCCAGAAAGCAUGACGUUGGUAACCCCCGAGGGAGAAACCUAAGUCAAUGGAGCACCGCUCGUGGAAACCCAAACGGUUGGCAAGAUCCUUCCAAUAAAUACCGAAAUCUCUUCCAAAGUAAUGGAAGGUAAUACCAUAAUCCACAAUUUGUAGAGUGCCCAAAAUUUGGAUCGUCAAAAGACGUGACCCAAGCUCAUGAACGGGGGCAACUCUACUCCAACCAAGAUGCUCAAAAAUAGUAUCAAACUCAACAUCCAUACCUAUUUGGUGCAUGAUGUUGACGGUCCUUAAGUACUAAAAUUAAUAAUCAAAUAAACAUGAAAAAGGAUCAAUAUGAAACAAACAUCUAGAAUUAGGGUUUUAUCUGACAGAAUUCCAUGAGCUUUGGUGUUUAUCUAUUUCUGCAGGGAGUUAUCAGAAAAUAUGGAGAGAAGGCCCACAUGUCAUGUUUACAAUAAGAUAAUUAUGUGCCGCGCAAUUUUCCUCAAUCUAGAAGGAUCCAGAAGCCACGGGAACGAACGGGAAGCGAAUCGGGCUCGGGAGCUGGGCGGCCGCCCACCCCCCUUGGGCGCCUGCCCUGGCCAAGAGGCCAAUCAGGACUCUGCUUCGGGACAAGACUCCACCGACCUAAAGGAUCAAUCUAAACCAUACAAUCUAUGUCGGUUUGAUCCAAUGGCUCACGUUCACUUGAGGGGACUAUAAAACAAGAACCCCUGGCCCCUGGAGGAGAGGAGGAGAAAUCAUUAUUCAGAGGUAGCCAUCAAAGUUAGGGUUUAGAUCUCUCUCCCACAGAGAAUUAGAAUUAGCUACUCCCUAAUCCUUCAAGUUUAGAGGUUGAUUAGAUAGCAAUUAGAGAAGUAGAGCACUACGCUCUGGAUUCGGAUCUUCGGUAAUAAAGAUUGGUAUUAUUCAUAUCUUUCUCUAAUUCUAUUGUUCUAAUUGCAUUAUGUCUCUAAUUAUUAUGCUCUUAGUUUGCUCUAGUUCUAUAUUUGAUAUAGUUCUAAUUGAUAAUGAGUUUAUGUAUAAGUUUGCAAAGCGCUUAGCUCUUGACGCGAGGGAGUUAGGUGAUAGAUCACAUGUGAGCGUGGUGCUUAGAUGUUAUUUAUCUGCAAAUGUAUCCUAUUGGCCGAGUCGUGUGGUAGUUCGCGAUAGUGACAGCUUCGUUGAUUCUUAUAUAGUCCACCCUCCGUUGAUAGGACAGGCAGAACCGGUAUUGUGGAGUAAGUCAUGCGAUGUUCUGAUUUACUUUAUCAAUGUUCCUUAUACAUGAAUGAAGAGUCUUUUAUGCUAUAUAUGAUCUUGUAGAUAACUAGAGUAGAUUAUGACUUAGUAGUUAGUAGAUAACUUAGAAUCCAUUCUCUAGCUAAUCCGACAUCACCUACAUAUAUGAGGAGUAGUCUAUUUUCUAAUCGCUGUGCUCUUUAUCCCUUGAACUUAUACUUUAUUAUCAUUAUCUUUAUGGUUUACCCCCUGCUAAAGUAUGUGACUGUGUGACGAGUUUCUUAUUAGUAAUCAUGCUCUUGCAAGUUUAACUCUAGUCUAUGCCUUGAUAGAUUUUGUCCCUUGAUUUAAUUCCAUCUCCUUAGAUCCCUAGAGCAAAAUUAUAAAUAACGAUACCUGGAAUACUUAUCCUGGUGAAAUGCUACAAUGAGGUGUUUUAUCUGUGCGCUUGCGGAUAGAAUGGAUUAUUUUCUAAAGAGCCUUUACAUUUAUAAAUACCUUUGUACACUCUGGCGCCAUGCUAGGGAUGACAACCUAGUAUCUAAGUGGUGUUAGCUAGUGUCAACAAGCAUUUCUGGCGCCGUUGCCGGGGAACUUAUAGGAAUUAUACGAAUCUCAGGAAUAAGUCAUAAAAGGGAACAAAAGGGUAAUAUUAAGGAAGCCAGAAAAUCAGUCAAGGUUAUUCAUAUAAAAUAUUAGAGUAGACUAUAGAGAAAUAAUUGCAUAAAACUGCUACUAAGUGAGAAAUCAUAACAAGGCACCUCUGCUUUGGCAGGUUCACCCUGUUGUUUUUCUAUGUUUAUAUUUUUAUACAGGGUAUAACAGGAAUGACUUUGGGUACAUUCAACUCUUCAUCAUCAGAACCAAAGCAAUCAAGAGAAGAAGAAGCUAGCUACCAAUUGUUGAAGCUAUGGCACACAAGACCUUGCAAGAAUUCUCUGCUCCAAGUCUUGAGAACAUUCCAACCGGUCCAAGAUUUGCAGUAGAAGAAGGAAUACCCGAGUUUGAGCUCAAGUCAAGCCUCAUCAAUUUGGUACAAGCUACACAAUUCAGUGGAAAUGCACAUGAAGAUGCCAGUGCACACUUGCAGAAUUUCUUAGAAAUUGGAAGCACAAUCCACAUCAACGGAGAUAUUGUGUAGAAGGAAAAACGAGGAAGUGGUUCUACACUCAUCAAGAUAACAUCAACAACUGGACGAACUUGUCAGAUGCCUUUCUAUCAAAGUUUUUCCCUAUAGGCAAAACAACUGCCUUAAGAGGAAAUAUUGUCAGUUUCCAACAGCAGAAGACAGAAGCCAUUUCAGAAGCAUGGUAGCGUUUUCAAGGAUACAUAUCAGAUUGUCCUCACCAUGGAAUGGCUACAUGGUUACUUAUGCAGACCUUCUAUCAUGGAUUAACCCAUCAGACUCGUGAGUGCCUAGAUGCAUCUGCUAAAGGAUCAUUCUUCGAGCUUACAACUGGAAAAGCAGAGAUACUUUUGGUUAAGAUAGCAGAAAACCAAAGCUGGUUCCAAGAUAAAGCUCAACAAUGUCAUCAAACUGAAGAAAUACCAGAAGAAGUAAAUGCAUUAUCAACUAAGAUAGAAAAUUUGCUCCAUUGGAUUGACCAGAGGGCCAAGUUCAAAGAAGAUCAAAGGGCCAUUGAGACAGCAUACAAAUAUCAACCAACUUCGAGUCAACCCAAUAGCAAAGGUAUGAAUUCAGGUAAUACUAUCAAGCAACUUUCAUUAAAAGAGAUAAUUGCUCAACAAACCAAAAUUUAUGAUGAAGUUAAACAAAGGCUAGAUACAAAUGAAUCGUCUCUAAAAGAUAUACACAAUAAAAUGGAUUUUUUACUAACUGCCUUUGAUGAGCAAAACACUCUUAAUAAAAAGGUAGAGCUUAAAUUAAUAAAGAUAGCUGCUGCACUGCCUGUUGCUACUAACCUUGAGCAGGUAAAGAAUAUAACUACUAGAGGAGGCAAAGCCACCAGAGAUCCACCAUACCCAAAAGAGAAACAAAGAACAUCAGCACCAGUGCAACCAGCAGUGAUAGAAGAAGAAAGCCCAGUUGAAGCAGAAGAUCUGCUACAACUACCAAGAAAUGGAGAAAUGAGGAAAUAUUUUUACGACACCAACUAUUUGCCAUUUCCCAGAAGAAACAGAGGACUGCAGUCGGAUGAGCAGUUUGGUAAGUUUGUAGAGGUCAUUCAGAAAUUAUAUGUCAACAUACCUCUGCUCGAUGCCAUACAGGUACCUACAUAUGCAAAGUACAUCUGAGAUAUUCUUAAGAGACCACUGCCCACCACUGAGGUUAUCAAGCUGACAGAAGAAUGUAGUGCGGCCAUCCUCAACAAACCACCAAAGAAGAAGGAAGAUCCAGGAUGCCCCACUAUUGAUUGCUCGAUUGGAAACCAACACUUCAACAAUGCACUUUGUGAUCUCGGAGCAAGUGUCAGUGUGAUGCCAGCAUCAGUCUACAAAAAUCUUGAUCAUGCAACCUUAGAACCAACAUCAAUGUGCCUACAACUAGCGGAUCAAUCGGUUCGACACCCGUUGGGCAUCGCCGAGAACAUUCCAGUCAAGAUCAGAGAUUUCCUGGUGCCAGUAGACUUCGUAGUACUGGACAUGAGUCCUGACUCGAAAGUGUCCAUCAUCCUUGGAAGGCCAUUUCUGAGCACUGCCAAUGCCCACAUUGAUGUUGGGAAGGGAGAAAUCAAGUUCAACAUAAACGGUCAAGAAGAACACUUCACAUUCAAACCCAGACCAGAGAAAGACUCUACAGUGAAGGAAGUUCAUGAAGAACUACUGAAGACACCAUCUCCGGAGGAAGGUAACUAAGAAGAUUAAAAGAUUUGGAGGUCCAGCUUGGGGGACCUAAAAAUCCCAAACCCUCACCGGGAGGUAAAUCGGUAUUUACCCGCAUUAUUAAGUUUCUCAUAUUUAAAUUCUUGCAUAGUUAAAUCUUGCAUUAGUCAUAUAUAUUCAUAGCAUAAUUAUAAUAAUGAAAAUCCCCAUAUAAAUAAUAUUCAUGGUGUGUAACAACCCAUAUUUAUUAAUUAUUGUGGAGGCACAAAAAUAUUUUCCAUUAUCAUUUUCAAUAAGUUUCAAUUCUCAUAGAUUUUCCUGCAUUAUAUUUAAUUAUAUUGAUCUUCUAGAAGCAUGACCCACACUCCUUGGGUCCCACAUGUCAUACACUUCACCUCACAUACAUCCCAUCACAUAAUUUCAUCCACCAAUAUGUUUCCACUCACUUGACAUCUUUCCACCGUCCAACCACCACCAACACAAUAUUAUUCUGCGUGAGAUCAAAGCAAGGAAGCAAGUGGAGGAGGCACACCCAGGAUGGACACCAGGGGUGGGCGCCCGCCCACCUACCUUGGGCGCCCGCCCUGUCCCCUGCUCAGCCUAUAAAACUCCACCUCCAGCUCCCCUUCUCUUCACACAAACACUUCAGAAAACCACACAAAUCUCAGUUUCCCGAGAAGGAGUUUUUGUAUAGAGAAAGAGGAGAGUGGAAGGGAAGGUUGGAGUUCUUUUGAGAGAGUUAUUAUCACCUAGUAAGUAGUUGUCUAAGAGGAAGUAAAAGUUGUUUAGGGGGAGGCUCUACCAAAAUAGAAACUUGUCUUGAACGAUUAACCCCUGGACUACUGACACUCCGGACGGCUGACUACCAACAUUUUAUCUCACAUUUUCCACCAGUUGUGUUUUUGCCAACUUUUGUUUGCAGGAUGUUUAAGAAGGUGAAGAAUGCAGGGAAGGCUCUCAAGAACAUUGGUACAAGGAGUUCCGCCCGACACUCCUCAUAGCCAUCAGAGAUGAGUGUCGAUCCGACACCCACACAAGCUCCGUCAUCUUCAUCAGGUCAUCAAGUUAAGGUCCUUCUCAAGAUAGGAGACCUAGGACUGAAGAACCAAAGAGAGAAGGAAAUCUAUCAGCAACUGAAGAACAAAGAUUUCAUUCACACCCCUACUAUCGAUCCAAUCCUACUACGAGAAACAGGUAUGGACACUGAAUUUGACUUAAUUUUUCAGAUGAUGGGUUGGACAAAUUUUUGGAAUAUAACUGAGCUGGGUUCUCGUCUUCUCACCCUCGAAUUUCUUUGCACCUUACAAUACUAUGAGGGGGGAAUUGUUUUUCGGAUGUUUAAACAAGAAAUUAUGUUAUCCUGGAGAGAGCUGAGCGACCAUCUUGGUUUCUCUUCAAGAUGCAUCCUGAACAUUGACUCCGAUUUACCCAAUUUUGAGAGACACCAGUUUUGGAGAGAAAUAUCUAGAGAUAAUUUUUAUAGUCAAGCCCGAACCAGUGACAUGGAACACCCCACUCUUAGGAUGUUUCACAAAUGGCUUGGGUACAAUCUUUUCUAUCGUGAUGAUAUUAGGAAAGUAAGAGUAGGAGAUUUACAACUUUUAUAUGUUGCUAUUAGUAAAGUACCCACUUCACCUGUUACAUUAUUAGUUUCACAUUGGCUUAGUAUACCUAGUCUGCAGGGACCAGUAGGGUGUACUUCACUUAUCACUCGUCUAGCCACUAAUCUUCACUUACUAGAAAAUUCAUCGUUGGACUUCAUAGAAGAAUUAAGAAUUUACCAUGGCUAUGACACAUUUAGACAAGCUCGGAUGUUAAAGAAAGAGGGGAAUAUAAUGUAUAUGCUGUAUGAUGAUAAAGGCAAGAUUCGGUUACCUAACCCGAACCUUGGCCUCUACUCUGUGCAAAACUUUUUCAUUGAGAUUGCAGCAACACCAGUGAACCAGAGAACUCCACAGCGAGUGGCAUCUGAAAGGAUAACCACUCACCGAGAAGACCCUGGACCAGAAGAAGCAGCGCACCUGCAUUAUUGCGAUUACAAUCCACGAGUCCUUCGAGACCCAUGGGCUCGUCAUGCGCAACCACAAGAGCCAACAGAGGAGACAUGGCCGGAGAGCCAAGAUCACCAGUGGACAAACCCGCCUUUUCAUACGGGCAGGUACUCCACUGAUCCAUAUGGAGCUUCAGGAUCCAGACCUCCAUCCCAAGUUGAUGCAGGACGAUACUCCGAUGCCUCCUACGCCUUCACGAAUGACUAUUACCAAGAGGCCGGUGCUUUCUUCACUCGUACCGACAACACCCUCCUGGACAUCCAGAACACGCAAGCAGAACAUGGAAGACUCCUAGAAGAGCAACAAAAAUGGAACCAGGACCAUGCAGCUGUAGUAGAAGAGCUGAGACAAGAUACAACAACAAUGAACGACAACAUCACAACCAUGAUGCUGUUCUGGAACAUCGGGUAAGACCGACGUCAACAUCCAGCUUGGGGGAGUUUCUCCCCAAUUUAUCAAGUAAGUUUCUAUUUGCUCUUCUUAUUUAUUCUAUUCUGUCUUAGUAUUUAAUUUAUCUUAAAAGGAAAAAAACUUAGAAAAUCAAAUAAAUAUUUUCUUGCUUUAAUUUACUGCACUUUAUAAACAUGAAAACAAAAUAAAAAGAGUGUGUAGAUAAGUGUGCUUUAUUUACCUACUAAGUUCAAUCUCUAGAAAAAAUAAAAAGACCAAAAAUAUGCAUGAUGGAAAUGAUGAACAGUUGCUCUGUUUGCUUACUUACAAGUACCUAGCUUUUAUAUUAGAAUUCUUCCAAGAAUUACUAAAACUAAAAUUACUAUCUUUGGGAAGCAUAAAACUAAAUUCUAGGUAAAAGAAAGACAUGAUAUAAAGUUGAGCUACUGUUUAUCUUAUCCCUACUACACUAAGUUCUGGAGAUUUAUUUUGAAAACUUACAAAUCACAUGAUGAGUUCCUAGCAUAACAAAACUACCUACCACAGCCAUACUUGCUAUAACAUCUUUUACUAUAUUCACAUUGAGUUUAAUCGAGCUGUGUAGACCCUUAGGAGCUUUUCAUGUGGUUAAAUUAAGAUAUUCACUUGCACACAUCUACCACAGCAUUCAUCACCAAUCAUUAAAAUUGCUAAAAAUAUAAUCACUCACUGUCCCGAAUAUUGUUAUUCUCUCUCUAAAAAGAUUUAAUGCAGAAGAGGCAUGGGUUAUGCAAAAAUAUACGAGGAAAUAAAAAGGGACAAGUGCCCGGAACCUCGAAAAGAAAGAAAAAGAGUGAGACGAGAGGUAAAAAUGGACAAGUGUCCGGAGUAGAAUUAGGGGUACAAAGAUGCCCACUAGAGCGGAAAAAAUGGACAAGUGUCCGACAGUAGAAUUAGGAGUAUCUACUACCCAUCUUAAAAAAAAAGAAAGAGAAGAAGAAAAAGAUAGCCCAUGUUCUCCCAAAGCAAAGAUCAAAGAAGAGGAGAGAUAGCAAUAUAAGGAGCAAUGAGAACUAAAUUUUAUUAUUAUCACUUAUGCAUUUUCACCAUCACUAUCAUUUACUCCAUCACACAUGCACAUCUUGAUUUAAUUAUAUGCUGAGUUCCUUUGGAUCCAUGGCUCGAUUAGACAACAUAUGUAUGAGCUGUUUAUCACUCCUAUGAGCUCCACUUAAAUAUUCCAUUAGCUAUAGGUAAGUGAUAUUAUGGUAAGGAUCCACAAAUACCACAUAUACAGAGACUUGAGAGAAUCAUUGCUGGGAACUCUGAGUUUUAUUUUGAAAACUUAUGAAAAACUCUGGAACAAAGGUGAAGUAUAGACAGGAGAGAUAGUGCUUGACUUAACUAUUUUGUCUUUCGAUUACUUAAGACUUAAGUGCAGGUACUAAACUUCAUAACACUUCACUCUAAUAUGGAAGAAUUUUUAUAAAAGCAUGUGUGCCUGUCAGGAAAGAAAACAUCGAAGCAACUCCUGAUCCGUCUGAGUUUAGCUGUUUGCUCAGGGACGAGCAAAGGGUAAGCUUGGGGGAGUUUGUUGACGGUCCUUAAGUACUAAAAUUAAUAAUCAAAUAAACAUUAAAAAGGAUCAAUAUGAAACAAACAUCUAGAAUUAGGGUUUUAUCUGACAGAAUUCCACGAGCUUUGGUGUUUAUCUAUUUCCGCAGGGAGUUAUCAGAAAAUAUGGAGAGAAGGCCCACAUGUCAUGUUUACAACAAGAUAAUUACGUGCCGCGCAAUUUUCCUCAAUCUAGAAGGAUCCAGAAGCCACGGGAACGAACGGGAAGCGAAUCGGGCUCGGGAGCUGGGCGGCCGCCCACCCCCCUUGGGCGCCUGCCCUGGCCAAGAGGCCAAUCAGGACUCUGCUUCGGGACAAGACUCCACCGACCUAAAGGAUCAAUCUAAACCAUACAAUCUAUGUCGGUUUGAUCCAAUGGCUCACGUUCACUUGAGGGGACUAUAAAACCAGAACCCCUGGCCCCUGGAGGAGAGGAGGAGAAAUCAUUAUUCAGAGGUAGCCAUCAAAGUUAGGGUUUAGAUCUCUCUCCCACAGAGAAUUAGAAUUAGCUACUCCCUAAUCCUUCAAGUUUAGAGGUUGAUUAGAUAGCAAUUAGAGAAGUAGAGCACUACGCUCUGGAUUCGGAUCUUCGGUAAUAAAGAUUGGUAUUAUUCAUAUCUUUCUCUAAUUCUAUUGUUCUAAUUGCAUUAUGUCUCUAAUUAUUAUGCUCUUAGUUUGCUCUAGUUCUAUAUUUGAUAUAGUUCUAAUUGAUAAUGAGUUUAUGUAUAAGUUUGCAAAGCGCUUAGCUCUUGACGCGAGGGAGUUAGGUGAUAGAUCACAUGUGAGCGUGGUGCUUAGAUGUUAUUUAUCUGCAAAUGUAUCCUAUUGGCCGAGUCGUGUGGUAGUUCGCGAUAGUGACAGCUUCGUUGAUUCUUAUAUAGUCCACCCUCCGUUGAUAGGACAGGCAGAACCGGUAUUGUGGAGUAAGUCAUGCGAUGUUCUGAUUUACUUUAUCAAUGUUCCUUAUACAUGAAUGAAGAGUCUUUUAUGCUAUAUAUGAUCUUGUAGAUAACUAGAGUAGAUUAUGACUUAGUAGUUAGUAGAUAACUUAGAAUCAAUUCUCUAGCUAAUCCGACAUCACCUACAUAUAUGAGGAGUAGUCUAUUUUCUAAUCGCUGUGCUCUUUAUCCCUUGAACUUAUACUUUAUUAUCAUUAUCUUUAUGGUUUACCCCCUGCUAAAGUAUGUGACUGUGUGACGAGUUUCUUAUUAGUAAUCAUGCUCUUGCAAGUUUAACUCUAGUCUAUGCCUUGAUAGAUUUUGUCCCUUGAUUUAAUUCCAUCUCCUUAGAUCCCUAGAGCAAAAUUAUAAAUAACGAUACCUGGAAUACUUAUCCUGGUGAAAUGCUACAAUGAGGUGUUUUAUCUGUGCGCUUGCGGAUAGAAUGGAUUAUUUUCUAAAGAGCCUUUACAUUUAUAAAUACCUUUGUACACUCCGGCGCCAUGCUAGGGAUGACAACCUAGUAUCUAAGUGGUGUUAGCUAGUGUCAACACAUGAAUGUGUGGUUGAAUGCCGGGGAAUGGAGGAACUCGCGUUCCUUCAUGAGGUUGUAUGCCUGCAUCUCCCGCUCUCUCUCCAAUUUAUGAAGGGGGCGUCGGCCUCAUCAAUGGCAUGGCCGUGUGGCUCCUCCUCCUCUCCUCCAUGUGCUGGCUGCUUGUUCCUUGCAGGGGUUGGUGGAUGUUCCCCAUGUUGGUGGCGACUCCUUCUAAGCCCAAAAAUUCUACUCAUGGUGGACGAGCUAGCACAAGUGUAUGGUGUUUUUGCUUGGAGAGGGAUGUGUGCAAGAGGUUUUUGAUAGAAUUUUCUUGCACUAAGCAUGUGGAGUAGGCUAUGAAGCAAAGUGGAGCAAGAGAGUGAAGAAGGGAAGAAAUAAAAAAAAUAUGUGUGAGAGGGGUGUGGUGCUCCACCCAGGAUCCUCUCUUUUUAUAGAGUUGAUCGUAGGUGGGGGAGCGCCCCCCUCAACAGCUACUAGCCGUUGCCCAUAGGCCGAGGCCAGCAGGCCUUGGGCAGGGUGCGGCCACACCCUGCUGUGCACGUACCAUUGGUGGCCCACCUCUGCCCGGCUUUUUGGCUGCUCGCUCCAAUGGUCACCCCAAACGUCUCUUUAGUUAUGAUCAGACUUGGUUCAAAAUCUUGCUCCAGAUUUUGAUUUUCCACAUAUUUAUUCAAAAUAUUUUUGGUUUUCAAAAAUUAUAUAAAAAUAAGAUUUGGAAACGGGAAAAUCUAUACUACCAGAAAAUAAUUUUUAUAAGAUUUUCAGAGAAAUUUUAUUUUUGACUAAAAAUAAAACUAUAGAAAGGGAAACUUUUGGAAACUAAAAAUAAAAACUUUCUAUAAAACGGGAAUUUGAAACGAAAUUUAAAGAAUUUAAAAAUACAUAAUACCUGAGCGGGGACACCUCCCCCAAGCUUGCUUGAUGUCGUGGACCCCCUUCAGAUAUCUUUAUUGGGACACAAAUAGCACCAAAUUUAUUUUUAUUAUAUAUAGUUUUUUUAAUAACUACCAAAUUCCUUCGGCAAGGGCUGAACAUUUAUAGUCCGUUGGCAAGACUCUCCUUCCUUCAUUCUUCUGUGGUUGCAUGGAUGAACUCAAUAGAGGUUUUCGGUUGCCCUGCGAUCCUCUAUGUGUCAGUGACUGGAAUUGAUGCAGCCAUCUAUGCUAUCUGUGUUUCUAUCCUCUUGUUGAAACUCGUCUGACUUUUGACAGAUGAACAAAGAGUUUCAAGCUUAGCGUUGAUGUUCUCAAUGAUCUUGUCAUUGUAGGACAGCUUUUUGGUCAGAUUCUCGUUGAUUUUAGCUUGCCCUAUGAUCAGAUCUUUCAAGGAAGGCUGAUUGAAGAAAUUACCCUGCGGGCGGUGCUGAUUGUUCCACACAUUGUUACCUUGCUGUUGUGGCCGAAACCCAUUGUUGACAUAUGCUGCUUCUUCUUGGGUUUCAGGGCACUUGUUCCCUGAAUGGCCAUCAUCACCACAAACUUCACACGAUGUGUGUGAGUUCACUGCUUGGACGGUGCCCAUGUUGGGAUUUGCAACUUGUCCCUCCAUCCUUUGCAGCAGCAAGUCUAUUUUUGCGGCAAGCACAUCUGCCUCCUUCGCAGAUUGCGAGCCUUUUUGUGUUUUCCUUCCUUCUCCCCAGCUUUGAUUUGCCACCAUCUUCUCGAUGAGGGCAGUAGCUUCAUUAAUGCUAAGAGAAAGGAAUGCAGCUCGAGCUGCGGCAUCUACGUGCCCCUUUGACAUGGCCGUGAGGCCUUCGUAGAAGUUCUAGAGCAGAAGCAAGUCUUCCAUUCCAUGAUGAGGAUAGGCCCGGAUGUACUCCUGGAGCCUCUCCCAUGCUUCGGGUAUGGACUCAAGUGAAGACUGCUGGAAGAUAGAGAUUUUCCCCCUCAGAGCGCUGGUCCUACUCAUGGGGAAGAACAUGGCGAGGAAUGCCGCGGAGCACUUUUCCCAUGCUUCAAUAGCUUCCUUGUUCUGAUAAAACCAUUGUUUCACCUUUUCGGCAAGGGAAAAGGGAGACAGAUGGAGCCUGAUGCUGUUCUGUGCGACGUCCUUGAUGACGACGGUGUCGCAUAGCUCAAGGAAGUUCUGAAGGUGGGCGUUGGCAUCCUCGCUUGGCAGGCCAUAGAAUUGGUUUGCCUGCACCAUCGAGAUGAGGCCAGUGUAGAUCUCGAAGCUUUGAUUCCCCACAUUGACAGCGGGCCUAGUCGGCACAUUGGCAACAACGGGAGUGGAGUAGUCACGGAGUGUCUUGGCCAUAGCAAUUGGUGCGGUUGGUGCUAGAAUAGUUGAUUCGCUUGGCAGUUGCGUAGCAGAAGAAGAGAUGGUAUGAACCCUUCCCUUCCUUAGGAGUGUUUCUGGAUCAUUGUGGAAGUUUGCCGACAAGUUGAAAUUGCUCAUACACUAUCCUGUUUUCAUUCCAAUAAAAAGAGGAAGAAAACAGUAAAGUUAUCCUCCUUAAUCUAUGGCUACCAAUGUUUAUUAUGCAAUCAAUGUUUAUGCCAGUAUGGUUUUUUGUCUUCCACGGCAAUGGCGCCAGAAAUGCUUGUUGGCAUUUCUGAGCGUCACUACUAAAAAUAGACCAUAGAUCCAUCCUUAGCAAUGUCACUAGAAAUGUUGGGUGUCGGCAUACCGUAACUAUCACUACAUGAGAGAGAUAACCCAAGGCAACUUGAGGGCACCGGCCUUAGCAGUGCAGUCUGGUAACAAUAAUUAGGAAUGUCGAAUUGGCAUUCCUAACCAUCCUUACUUGCGAUAUGCAAAGCUGUGGCACUACGCUUGAAAGUGCACAAGGAUUACAAUCUUAAGUAAUGGUACUUAGGUACGCCAAUCGAAAGUUCAUGAAUGAAGAAGUAAUAUAAUUGCAAGUGGACAAAACUAUCAUUGUAGCAUUUCAACCCGUGAGUAUUCAAGGGUGUCGAAUUUAUAAUUCCCGUAGGAAGGCAAAGGGAUCAAACAUGGUGUAAAUAUGAUUACUUAUUGAAUGCUUGGUAGACAUAUUGUAAACAGGAAUAAACAUGAUAUUCAAGAUAGUGGACACACAUUGGAUCAACCUCAAGGAUAAAAUAGAAUAAAAAUAAUAAAUAAAGAAUAAAGAAAUAAAUCUACUUGAGCAGGAAUGGGUCACAUAUAACUAUGCAUAGAACUGUUAGCAGAUCAUCUAAUUAGCAAUAAAUAGAGUUAGAACUAAGCCUGAGAUCAGGGGAGAUCCCCGCAGCUGGAUACCUAGUUGAUAGAGACUUUACAGAACUCCUAUCGGAAUACCUGAUCGUGGAGGAGUGCAAAGGAUGACAGAGCUAUCACUACCCUGGCACCUACCCCUCUACCCGAAAGAUACCCGCACAUCCACUGAUUCUCGCAUACCUGAACACCAUUUUCAUGUAAUUGGGAACAACUCCUAACCCCCACGGGCCCCACCCCUUCGGAGUGACAGGCAAGGCUAAGAGCAACCAUCACAGCACAGUGAACCAUCAUCCCAUUCCUAAUUCUAAUCCUAAUCAUACUAAUCUGAUGAACAAUGAAGAACAAUGAUGAACAUAUCAAGAACAUAGCACAAGAACUAAGAACUAGUUCUUAUACUAUGAACAUGAUAAGAACACAACCAUACGCUAGUUCAUAUGCAUAAUCAUAUAAAGAUGAAUAGAACUUGCUCAUGGAAGAAGAUUGAAUAUUAUUCAUACCAAGAAGAUCCUUUCUUCCAAGGAGACAAGCUCUCUUUGCUAGCUCUUGCCUUGCUCUACUACUAAUCUAGACUAAACAUACAAGUGAGAGGUGUGAGGUAAAUUGACUGCAAAUGAUGUGUGUGUUGAAAAGGGGGGAGUGCCUCUCUUUUUAUAGUGGAACUAGGAUGGUUUGUCGCAUCUAAAUUUGGUAGUAGGUGAAACCGUCCUAUGCAUGGCGGCAUGCAACCGCCUGAGAAAGAUGGGCCCAGUUUGCCGCCUCCAGGGGUGCGCCCGCACCCUGGGUGGGUCCCCCUGGCCACCGCCUUCGUGUGGUCGGUUUGGCUCUGGGCCUGGAUCUCUCCCGUGGUUACGAUCAGGCCCAGUUCUGCGUUGUUUGGGCCUUUCUCUAUUUUCUUGGUCUGCGCAUUUCUGAAUACAUCCUUUGGUACUUUGCGCUUUCUUCGUGGUAUGGCACAUUUUCACUUGUUGCACUAUAAUUCCUGCAAAAUAUAAUCACUAUGGUACAAGUGGGGUACCUGUGUGUGGGGUGCCAAGCUUGAAAUUCCUGUUUUGCAUGUUCAUACUGUGGUUGGGUUGAAAUGAUUUUUCUGUAGGUAUGCUAACCACGUUCUCGCAUAGAGCGCUAGUUACGUUAUGAGAGAAUGUUGUGUGCCACCGCAUAUACCGAUUAGUAUUGACUUUUGUUUCUGAGUUUGUGAGAUCGUAAGUUUCGUGCAUGCAUCAUGUUCAUUUCAUAUCAUUACAUAUUUCCUCCCCUUAUUUAAAUCUGUCCCAUUUUCAAUAGAAAUAAUAAAAGAUAAUCCUCAGUCUUACCCGAGGUAUUCUAUUUUUAGCAGAUGGCACGCACCAGGCUCACCGCUCGCAAGUCAACUGGUGGGCGGGCUCCCCGCCAUUAGUUGGCACCUAGGGGCUUGCGUCAUAAGAGCAAGUUCAUAAGAGAGUUUGGGAUGCCUACCUUGCUUUGGAGGGUGCUCAGUUCGAUGGGGUAUCCUGAAGGAAGGGAACCUCACUACUAUUGGAGCUCAGAGCAGCUUGGUGAUGGGACCCUGGUGGGGAUCGAGGCAGUGGUUCCCACGAGUGGCGGUGACCCCGCCUAGGGUGGCUGGGUGUACGAGUCCCGAGGCAGCACACCUUUCUAGGGUGCUAGAGGGCUGCUUUUGCAGUUCUGAGCGAUGUCAUGGAGAGGUUUCCAUAGGAGCUAGCUCACGCCUUCACUGGGGUCUUUCCCCAGGGUGACCCCUACACUUUGCUGUGGGAUCAGUCCGAGGGGAGUGCUCUAGAGAGGAGUGCAGAUGAGGACCAGCAUAGUGACAACAUAGCUAUGAGUGCCAUGUUUGCUAUGAUGAAGACCUAUGGGGGUCUAGAUUUCUAUUUGGGGUGUUUGUCUGGGUCUCUGCUGACAGUUUAGGAUGAGAAGCUCCAGCUACAGCAUGAGUUUGAUAGUGAGUUCGAGAGGCUGCAUUCAGAGCUGUCCCGUGUGACUCUAGAGUGGGACCAGGCAGUCCGGCAGAAUAGUGUGCUGAGUCAGAAUCUGCUAGCAGUAAGAGAGUAGAAGGAUAGGGUGACCAUAGCUCACAGGAAUUGCGAGCGCAUGCUAGUUCAUGUGCUUGGUCAGAGGAAUGAAGCCUGGCACGAGGAGGACACACUGAGGGCCAGACAACAAGAGCUUGAGCAGCAGUUAGCUAAUGCUGAGGAGUACAAUGAGAUCCUGCAUGAGGAGAUCCACCAGUUGCAUAACCAGCUCCAUCCUCAUCACUUGCCUGGAGCAGCUGAGAUAGACUCUAAGGAUGAGAUGGAUGAGGACCUAGAGAUGGAGGAGGCCGCUAGUGGAGAUGAUGAUGGCGACGGUUCCAGCAUGGACAGCAACCAUAGCAAGUAGAUGCUAGGGCUCUAGAGCUAGUCCUUCUUCUUGUUGUUGAUGUUGCAUGGCAUGUACCUAUAAUCCAUUUGAAACUUGGAUGUGUGAGACCUUCUGUGUUUGAGUUAUGUUGAUGCUGAAAGUCUAGUGUAUGUAUGCUGGCAAUUUUGGAUGUAUGCGAACCGCGUUGGCUAUGUGCUAAGUAAUCAGUUAGUGAUGUUGUGUGUGGAUGAUGAAUUAUUGUGCCUCUGUUUAUUGUGUGGAUUUAUUCUCAUUAGCAAAUUCAGUGUGGCAUGAUUUUACAUAUGUCUAUUGGUUGAUAACAACUCCUAACGAUUGCUUAUCAUUGACGCAUGCAGAUGGUGCAAACGCGUGGUAGGGGUAACCCUAACCCCGGUGCUGGAGAAGGUUUUUCUGGAGGUGGGGCUCGCAGGAAUGAGGAAAGAGCACCAUCACCGCCAGCACCACCACCCCCUUCGUACACCGCGGAGGUGUUCUUCACACAGUUUCUAGGAAGCCAACAUAACAUGGAACAAAUGCAGCAAACCAUGGAAGCUACCCUCCGCAAUAUCGCUGACAACACCAACCAUAGCUCUUUCAAGGACUUCAUGGACACCAAACCACCGGUCUUGAAGGAGGUCACGGAACCGCUCGAAGCCGAUGAGUGGAUUAACACAAUGGAGCAGAAAUUCUGCCUUCUUCGGAUGACUGAAAAGCUAAAGGCAGAGUACGUAGUGCAUCAGUUAGAGGGGCCUGCUAGGAUUUGGUGGUCCCAUCAUCAUACCACCUAUCUAGAGGGAACCCCAAUCACCUGGAACCGCUUCACCACCGCUUUCUGGGGAAAUUACAUCCCUCCGAGUUUAGUGGAAAUGAAGAUUGGAGAGUUCAUGAAGCUGUCUCAGAGAACCAAGACUGUGAAAGAAUACAUGCACGCUUUCAACAACCUUGCUCGUUACACUCCUGAGUUUGUUAACACAGAUGCUAAGAAGAUUGCUAGCUUUCAGAGGGGCCUGAGCCCAAAGAUGCUGAAGACCAUGGGUACAGGGACCCGAGCUACUUUCAAUGCCUAUAUCAGUGACUGUCUGACCCAAGAGAGCAAUAACAACAACUACAGUGCAUCCAAGUCACACAAGAGGGCUUUUGAAGCUGGAUCGUCUCAGUCCAGGGCACCAGUGGUAGGGCGUCAGCAGUAUCGUCCUGCUGCCCUGGGUGCUAGGUUCCGACCUACACCAAGAAGGAACACGGGGCAUCCAACUCAGCAGAAGCCAUAAAAGGUAGCAGUGGCUCCAACGAAGCCAAGAGCCAAUCAAGCCGCAGCACCUGCUACCAACUCUAUGACCAAGGGGCCGAGCUACAACUGCCACAAGAUGGGGCACUUCGCCAAGGAAUGUCCCUAUCCCAAUAAGCAACAAACGACCUACCCAGCCCGUGUGCAUCACACCUUCAUCGAGGAGAUUCUGGAAGGAGAACUGGUAAUAGCUGGUAUGUUCCCUGUCCACCAACAUAUUGCAGUUAUUUUAUUUGAUUCUGGAUCAUCGCAUUCACUCAUGAGCCAAGCAUUUGCGCAAAAACAUGAUCAAUCGGUUACCGAGUUGGGUUGUGGUUAUCGCAUCAGUUCGGCUGGGGCUGAUGUAUUGACCAACAAGGCAGUAACAGGAGCAACUUUGGAUAUCAGCGGCCGAAGGUUUUGCGUAAACCUUGUUGUCAUGCCAAGGUUAGUUUUGGAUGUUAUCAUUGGCAUGAAUAAGACGAUAGAUUGGGGUGCAGUCAUAGAUGCAGGUCAGAGGACUCUCUCCCUUAAGGAUCCAAAGUGGGAGGGAGUGUUUUAGGUUAAAUUACCUCGGUGGUUUGACUUUACCAGCCUUUCUUGUGCUAUACAAGUGGUUCUGUUAGAGCACAUACCUGUAGUCUGUGAGUUUCCCGAUGUUUUUCCAGAAGAGUUACUGACUUCCCCCGGAUAGGGAAGUGGAGUUUGCUAUAGAGUUGAUAACAGGUACAACACCAAUCUCUAGAAGACCGUAUCGGAUGCUGCCAAAUGAACUGGUUGAACUGAAGACUCAACUGAAGGAGCUGCUAGACAAAGGUUUCAUCUGGCCUAGUUCAUCUGAAUGGGGUUGUCCGACACUGUUUCUGAAAAAGAAGGAUCAAUCCUUGCGCAUGUGUGUGGACUAUCAUCCACUCAAUGUUGUUACCAUCACGAACAAGUAUCCUCUACCCUGAAUCGACAUCCUGUUUGACCAGUUGUCUAAAGCAAAAGUGUUCUCCAAGAUAGAACUGAGGUCCGAGUAUCACCAGAUCAAGAUUCGACCGCAAGAUAUACCAAAGACUGCUUUUUCUACCAGAUAUGGGUUGUAUGAGUAUCUUGUCGUGUCCUUCGGAUUGACAAAUACUCCUACAUACUUUAUGUAUCUAAUGAACUCAGUCUUUAUGCCAGAAUUAGACAAGUUUGUGGUGGUGUUCAUCGAUGACAUUCUGGUUUAUUUGGAGAGUGAGCAAGACCAUGCUGAGCAUUUGAGGGUUGUGCUGACUCGACUGCGGGAACAUCAGUUAUAUGCAAAGUUUAGCAAGUGUGAGUUUUGGCUUAAGUAGGUUCCAUUCCUGGGGCACAUUCUGUCGAAAGAAGAGAUCAUCGUGGAUCCAGCAAAAGUACAAGAGGUCAUGGACUGGAAGGCACCAACUUCUGUCUCAGAUGUUUGAAGCUUUCUUGGAUUGGGCGGGCAUUAUCAUCGUUUCAUCCGCGACUUCUCCAAGAUUGCUAAGCCAAUGACUAGUUUGCUGCAAAACAGAUCCAACAAACAUGGGUGGGGACAUUCUGGAAAGCUUAUGAAAUUUUUUACAUUUCAACUUUAGACAUCACAGCAAGAUUCACAAGUUAAACAGGUCAAUUAAACAAAGUUCCAGGUUCUGUCCCAAAAAAAACAGAGAAUACCUAUUUCUGAAACCCAACUUGGAAGAGCCAUAACUUUUAAACUACUGGACCAAUAGAUCCCAAAUUUAAGCCACAGCUAGUUCAUAAAGUUUACAACAUCUUUUAUUUCGACAAGUUAGUCAGAAAACAAAGUUGUCAUUAAGCAAAGGUCAGAUUACUUCCUUGCUGUCCAGAAUAGCUUUUACCCCUUUAAUUAAUUAUUUGAUGACAUAACCAAAACAUAUUUAGUGCCAACCUAACGGCUUACAAGUACAAGCACAACCUAAGAUUACCAGAACAUCCCAUGUUGACCCCUAAACAUUAAAUAACAUGGCAUUUAUUUAUUAAUUUAAUUCUAUGAAGAGACAUAAUUACAAGACACCAGCAAAAGUGCUGAGAAAAAUCUACAAAAAUUACAGAAGCACAAGCAUAGCAUCUUGACAUUACCAUAAAAUUUUCAGAGCAAUUGCACAUGCCAAACUUAAGAUAAGUACUUUACAAGUAACAAGGUGCUUAUUUCAUAAAUUAAGAAACAUGGCUUAGAUAGUGUCAAACAACAUAUUUCAGAUUAUUUACAUGUUACUAUUACCAUAAACAAGCUUGACACCAAAGUAGAAUAUCAGCAUAAGCAUAAAUCAUUUAUUAUGAUUUAAAUAAGAAAACAAGCUAUAGAAUCAACAUAAAUUUCAUAUCAAAGAUACAGCACUCCAAAAAUCAUGAAAUAUUUAUCACAGCAUUCUAAUACCACACAGAGACUACCAUAACAAUUUCAUAACAAAAGGAGCAGUAUAUCAACAGAUAUGAAUUUACAAUUAAAUAACAAGAUUAAAUCAUAACAAUUAUUUUUCCCAGAAAACAUGGUACAUUUUAUAUUUUUAUUAAACACUAGCCAUCUCAAGGAUCAUCACAAAAUUUGUUUCACAAAUUUUAGAGCUCAGAAACUGGAGAUAUGAUUUUUGCAAGAUUGCAAGAAAUCUGGAUUUGAAUAAAAGAAAAGGAGGGAAACGAUGUGUCAUUGACAGCGGGUCCCGCCUGUCAGAUUUGUCUUCCUCACGACCGAGACGACUUUCACCGGCGAUUUCUCCACGAUGGCGAGGUCUCCGGCCAAACCAAGGGCACCAACGUGAUCCCCAGACCUUUGCAAACCGGUUGACCCCAUUUCCCCACGGCGGAGCCACCGAAAGGGGCUUGCCGUCGACCAUGGCGACUCGGCGGAGGUGCUCGGCGUUACGCCGACGCUCUCAGGCCGGUAGAGCGAGACCUAGGGUUUCCUACAGCACCAGUGAACUACGGCGAAACUUUCUAGGUAGGUGGCUAGGCUUGAAACGGUGUGGAACGAGCUGGCCACGAGAGGGCCGAGCUUCGGCGGAAACACGGCGGCGCUGCGCGUCGUGUCCGACAACGGUGAGUGCGGUAGAGCGUCCACCAAGAGGCGCAAAUGCUUGCUAAGGUCCUAAGCUACCUCUAGAACCUAACUAGAGAAGACGAAAAGCUCCGAGGAGCUCAACAUUGAGUUCGCCGGAGAAGAAGGUCACGACGAACCGAUUUGGGGGAAGUUGGAAAUGUCGGCUCACCGGAGGGUUUCACGACGAGUUUGCUGGUGGAGGUUGGAGAGCAGGUCACGGCAGAUCUGUGGGUGAGUUUUGGUGGACAGCAACGCAGCGAGGAGCGCGUUCGAGCUCGCCGGAGUGAGCUUGCGAUGGCGACUCUGCAGCGGCCGCGUUUUUUGCGAGAGAGUGAGAGGAAGGAGAGAAUGGACGUGUCCACUGCGUCCGGGUUGUCGCCGUGGAGGUCAUGCGGCGUUCGGAGCUGACGAGCGGGGCCAGAGAUGAUGUACGGGCGCCAAAUGUCGCCGUUGUUCUGUCGCCGGUCGGCCACGUCGACGAGCUCGGCUUCCAUUCAGGCAACGCAAUGCACGACUGACAUAGCCACUACGAUGAUUAUCUCCCAAACCAUGGCAAAUUAGUAGAUGGCGUAGUUGACAAAGUUGGAGUACUAGCUGAGUUCUACAACAUUGUCAACUGGAGCAAGAGCCAGAUCGGCCUGGAUCAAGAUAUAUGAAGUUCCCAAAAUCGAUCGAGCAAACUGGUGGCGCCAUGACUUACCCAAAUUUGGUUAAGUGCCAAAACAGCACCCAAAACUGCCUUGCAAGCACUUUUUGAACAUGAUGUGGUCAUUUUCAUGAGAUGGCCAUGAAACAUCUUUUGUUCCUUAUAAAAUUUGCUACAACUUUGCUUUAGGAAGUUUUGACAUGCAAAAAUUUUAUGAAGCACUUUAUAAAGCCUAAGCAAAAGAGGUUUAUAGGGCCUAUAAAUGGAAGUAUGACUUAAGUACUUAAUUUGGAGAUGUGAUAAACAUGAACAUUGUUCCAAAAGUUGAGUUAAGCAUAGAUAAACUAAUUACCAAAACAUAGCACACCAACAUGAGCAUGGCAUAAGCAAACACAAGCAUAGGAAGCAUAUUUAAGCAAGUUAAAUCAUACUUUAGCAUAAAAGGACAUGACCCAAGGUAAAUGAUGAUCAUGAUAUGCUUAUCAAGAUGAUGAUGCUCAUGUUAUGCAUGUGAAUGAUGCAACCAUAACACUGGGGUGUUACAACCACCGCCCGCUAUUGGAGCUCUUGAGCCUCCACCGCCUUGUUCCGAAUGCGCCACCGCCUCUCGCGUCUUCUUCCUCCUCCCCGAGCUCCACAUCCGCAUCACCAUGCUCAGACGAAAUCUUCUCACUCAGGUGAGGCUUACCAGGGCACUCAAUCGCUCGUCGGAGUGCGCGAGACCUCACCGGAGCUCUCCGCGACGCUUGUGUUCCUGUUUCUUCCCUUUCUGGCCUCUUCUUUCCUCGCUACUGCGCACAUUUCUUUCGUCGUAGCUUCCAGAGUCGCAUUCGCUCGCUCAUUCACGCUCUACCGGUGUGUGGUGGCCGGCACCACCGCGGCAGCGCUGCCGGUCCGCCAUUGCCGGUGUCCAGCUCACUGUGCUCUUCCAUUGGUCGCGUUAUGGGGUGGAAUCGAGUUGCACGGGUGAGGCGGGCGUGAUGAUGUCCUUGGUUUCGGCCGAGAGGACUUGUUGGGUAUUCUUAACAUCAUUACCAAAAGUAGACAGUUUUCUAAAUCUGAUAACGGUGCCAAAAAUGCCAAACCUAUCCCUCAUACCACUUAAGCCAAGUUGUCAUCCCCAGUAUGAUAUAAGAGAUGCGGUAUUGAAAUAUGCAAUUGCUCUUCUAAAUAAAUAAUGAAUGGGAUCUGCAAGCACACAGAUUAAUACCGAUGUAGCAUUUUAACCGGGAAGUAUUCCAGGUAUCGUUAUUUAUAUUUUUACCACUGGGAAGGGAUUAACAAUCAUCAAUAUUGAUUACAGAAUAGAAUAUGAGAUUGAGUAUCUAUUAUUGCAUGUAUAAUUUAGAACAUUUAUCUAACUCUUUCAUACAGAGAUAAGUGUCACAUAAAAGAUAUAUGAAGUAAUGAAUAGUGACAAAGAUAAUUAAUCUGAUCAGCAUAACUUAGCCACAUAAUAAAUAUGAUAAGCACCUCAAUUAGAUACUCUAGAAAGUCAUUAGCAUGGUAUUAGAAUGAACUACAGAAAUAUGUCCUAAGUUAUUCUCAACUAUAUAGUCUAGCAUUAUCAUAGUUAGUGCAAGCAUACUUAGCAAUCAUUGCGAGACAAGACUAAGCCCAUGCAUAGUGAUAUUAGCAAGGUAAAUGAGAAAUAUAGCAAUCACUCCCCUGUAAUAAUGUUGCUCUGCCAGCCCAGUACACGAGAGGGGGACUAUAUAAGAAUCAAUGAAGCUGUCACUAUCACGAACUACCCCACAAUCUGGCAUAUUGGGUACAAUUGCAGAUAAGUACGAUAUAAGCACUGUUGACGGUCCUUAAGUACCAAAUAUAAUCAACAAAUAAAUAAAGAAAAGGAUCCAAAUGCAAGCAACACCCAGACUUAGGGUUUUAUUUGACAGAAUUCCAUGAGUUUUGGUGUUUGUCUAUUUCUACAGGGGGUUAUCAGAAAAUAUGGAGGAAAGGCCCACAUGUCGGGUUUACAUAGAGAUAUUAAUGUGCCGCGCAAUUUUAUAUCAUCUAGAAGACUCCAGAGGGCUCAGGGACAGGGCGCCCGCCCACCUAUUUCGGCCAAUCACGUUCAACUUCGCGGAUUAUGCUCCACCGACCUAAAGGAUCAGGAAUAACCGUUCAAUCAAUGUCGGUUUAAUUCGACGGCCCAGAUUCACUUGAGGGGACUAUAUAACCAGACCCCCUGGCCCCUGGAGGAGGCACCCCUUGAUCAUUAUUCAUUAUUCAUAGACAGAGCAAAAGCUAGGGUUUGGAGAUGAGAGCUCUCCUCUCAUCUCUAAACUAGAGUAGAUCUAGAUAGUAGCGAGAUGGAGAGCGAGGCAGGAUUGGAGGAGAGGCCGGCCUGUGGGUUCUUCCUCCAGUUGUACUUCGUCAUGAUCAAGCUCUAAUCAAGCUUGCUCAUGGGAUGACUCUGGUAAUCUACUUCUAAUUCAUUAAGCAAUUACUAAUCAUGUAUGUUCUGGUUCACAACUCUUUUGAGUACUUUAAUCUAUAGGACGCUAUAGGUGAGAGUUAUAGUAUAGGUGUAAGCGAGGUGCUUAGACCUAGAUUACUUGUGGAUAUCCCCUGUCUAGCUGGAUCGUGUGGUAGGCCGCGUAGGUGACAGUUACUUUGGUCCCCUGUAGUCCACCUCUUGUUAGCAGGAUGGGUAGGGUUUAUCGGCCUAUGGAUAAGCAUCCUUUGUUGUGUAUUCUUGUCACGUGGUUCGUCCCAGACAUAGACAUACCCCUUUUGAAGUAAAGAAACCAUAGUUAUCCUCUCUAUUCUGCUACCAUCGCCCAUAUAUUAGAUUGCUCUACUCUCUAUUCGUAUAUUAUCACCCAUUGUUAUCUUACCUUUAAUAUUGUUCUUAUUCAAUUCUACCAUCUUUCCUAUUUACACUUAUCUAUUUAUCUUGGUUAAGUUAGAGCGUAGUUGGUUCUCCCAUUUCCCUAGGGAUACGAUAAAACCUUUAACCGGGUAAAAGCUACGACGGUAUCCGUGCGCUUGCGGAUUAUCUGUGUGCGUAUAAAUACCAUAGUACACUCUAGUGCCAUGCUGGGGAUGACAAUCUAGUAUUCAAGUGGUGUUAGCAAGUGUCAACAAGCAUUUUUAGUGCCGUUGCCGGGGAGACGGUUGCUGAGUUGAUUACGAUCUAGCUUAAUCAUUUUCUAAAAAAAUAAUAAAAAAUAUAAUAAAAAAUAUACUCUUCCUUUUAUCUUUUGCCUUAUCUCUACUAUUCUUUCUUCUUAUCUAAUCCUUGAUCUCUGGUCUAUCAAGAAUUCAAACAUGUCUAUCUAUGAAUUUCAUAGACCUAUGGGCAAACAUCUCGAACCACCAAAAUCUUCAAAGCCUAUCAUAGCAUCUAGUUUUGAGAUAGACCUCGAAUACAUAGAAUUCAUUCAAAAACAACCUUUCUCACGAGAAGGUGAGGAAAACCCAUACACACACCUAAGAGAGUUUUAUCGAGUCUGUGACCUCCUUCGCAUAGAAGGCAUGUCCGAUGAGACCCUUAAAUGGAAGCUCUUUCCGUUCUCUUUAACAGGAAAGACAUUGGUAUAAACUUAAAGUAGGGAGUGUUCAUGGAGAUUGGAAGGAUUUAUAUAAUAGUUUUCUUUUUAAAUAUUUUCCAAUCUCCAAAGUGGCAGAACUUCGGCGUGAGAUUCUUUCUUUUGUACAACUAGAAGAAGAAUCUCUUGGCAAAUCAUGGGACCGCUUUAUUAACCUUACUCUCAUUGGCCCAAAGUUUUCUAUUCCAGAAGAAGUUCUUCUCACUCACUUUUUUGAGGGCCUUAGUAUGGAAAAUAAGCAAACAUUGAAUACAGCCUCCAGAGGAUCCUUCUAUCACUUACCUGCUAGUGAAGGUUGGAAUUUGAUUGAUUUAAUGAGCGGAAAGUCUCCUAGCUUUUAUAUCCUUGAGAAAGAGAAAGAACUAGUUCCUAGACAAGAAGAAGAAGUUUCGAUAGCCAAAUCACAAACACUUCAAUUCCAAACUUUAGCUAUCGAUCCUAAACCAUCAAUACCCCAAAAUUCUCCAAGGGAGGAAGGAAUUCCGUCCUUAAAUCUUUUAGAUACUGAUGGUUUAAACUCCUGGUUCCAUAAGAGACCUUCAAGCAGGGAUAAUUCAAAUCCUUGCAAUAAUGGUUCUCUUAGAGAAUGUCCUCAUUCCUGUUAUGAAGAAGUCGAGGAUGACAUAUCAAGUGAAGGAGAGCUAAGCCAUAUAGAAGAUUCUAUCUGCUCCCCUUCCAUGUUCACAAAUUCUAAAUCCAUCCUUGACCUUAGAUGUACUGUGUUUGCCACUAGUUAGACCUUUGGUUUUGAGCUCAAACAUGUCAUGAUAAGUGGUGAUGAUCAUGAUAAAGUCAAUCCAUGAAAAUGAGCCUCAAGUUAAACUUGGAGAACACGCCCUUGCUUACCUAUAGGCCCUUUUCAAAGUGCAUGCUUGGGUGACAUUAGGGGAACAUCUCUCAUGUGUCCCACAUCCAUUACUGCCUAUAGUGAUCACUCAAAAAGUUUCAUGAAGUUUGGAAUCAAAGGGUCACAUGAAAUGAUAUGUUACAUGCUUGUUGGAAUGACCUCAUUAACUGAAUAAAACCAUAGGUCAUCAACCAAUCUUUGCAACCUUGCUCAAAUGACUCUAGAUGAACUCUACAACAAAAGUCAUGGAGGGUACAUGUUGAGCUUGUGCCUAGAAAAUGCUUCAAUUGGCCUAAAACUUUCAUUCAAGCUUUAUCAAGUUGCUGCUUUGACCAAAGUGAAAGUUUGACUUUUGUACUAGUUCUGAGGUUUGACCUUAAAUUAAAGUUGUAGUUUAGAUUCUGUAGAACAAACUUUGUUUAAUGGUGAAGAGCUAGUUUGGUUGCUAACCUAGUCAAAUUGAGUUUACAAGAUUCAAUGCAGUGCUGUUUUGGAACUCCAGAAUUUUGGCUAAGUCCUGAGGUGCUCAGUUUCGGGUGCCCUAGUUGGGAGCCUUGUAACUUCCAAAUAAUACUAAACCAGUACAAUGUCCUUUUGUAAAAGUUGUAGAAUAGUUUGCAUACUACAAUCUUUGUUAAAGUUACUAAGUCUGAAUCAUCUUCUAAGCAUGUAAAAUAAUAGUCCUAAAAUUGAAUCUGCUAUAAUUUCCAGCACUUAGAGUUUCUAAGUCUAGGUUUGCAGUUCAUCACGUUAGCAUUCCGCGUUCUCCAAAUUUUGUUCAACAACUUGCUUAGGUCCCAAAAUAAAAGUUGGAGCACAUAUUGUGGACAAAAGCAUACCGAAAGAUGACACCAGUUUGACUUCGUUUUGGUAACCAAUUUUGAGUUUUGCUAAUCACUAUCAAUUCAUUGACACUCAUAGGUUGCCAUCAAAUUAUCUUCUAAUCUGUAACUCUAAUGACCAUGGAACCUUAAUCAAAGUUGGAGAGUGUCAAGAGAAGAGCAAACUUCGUUUUUGGUCCACGUGCUCGGCGAAAUGCGUCCAAGGGCAACACGUGUUCUGGACGUGUUGACCAUGCACGAGUUCAACCUCUCCAUUGCUGCCACCUCCACCUUGCCCUGUCCUCUCUCUGCGCCAUUGUGGGCGAGCGCCAGAGAGCUCUCGCUGUCCUCCUCCACUCCCUCAACGCUCUCCCAUCCUCCACUCGCCUUCUUCCCUCUCCACUCUCUCCCUCUGUCCGCCAUGGACAGCCAGCACAGCAGCUGCGCCGCUGCAGGACAUGGCGCAAGCGUGGCUGGCCACUUUGCCAGCACAGCUGUCCCCUACCACUGGCAGCCGUUGGCCAUGCACCGCCCAUGGCUAGCCCUUCCCCGUCGUUGGAACCAUCGUCGACCCGAUCUGCUCUGUCCUCUGUUCCCUAACAAGGGAGAAGCGAAGGGACCUCGGGUUCGAAUAACAAACAACCCAGGGUUCCAGAUGCAAAGCCAAGACUCAUAUGAAUAGUAUUUGUGAGCUGUUGCGUGAUUCAUGGAAAGUCCAGGUCCCCGGAGAAAGAUCUGUUUUCCUUUUCCUUUGUUUUUGCAGAUUUCUGGGUGAACUUUGGAAAUCUAUAGUAAUUCAUAGAAAAGUCGUAAAAUAUCAAAUGCGGACUUUUUGGAAUCCUUGUGAAAUUCUCUAUGCAGUUUUUGUUUCAAGUUUUAACGGUAAAAAUAGAUCUGUGCAGUUCGGUUUUAAUUGUUUGUUAUAUUUGUCCUUUUCAUAACCACAGUAUUAUUACUCAAAUAAAUGUGAAAAUAUUGUGGCAUGCUUUACAUAUAAUAUUUGAUUUCUGGUAAAAUUUACAUGAAUUUAGGAAUGACAGAUUAAGAGUUAUAAAAAUAACAAAUUCCCUUUGUUGCUUUGCUCAUAUUCUGAGUAGGUCUGCAUGUUUAUAUUGUUUGGCUCAGUUAGAUUGUGAAUCAUGCCUGGAUGAAAAUAUAUGAGUUGUAUUACUUUUCAUAAGCUUUCCAUCAAGCUAAAUAGCAUAAUUUUUGGUUAAGCAUAUCUUUAGUUAUAGUGGUUUAAAUUACUAUUUCAGUUUCUGUCUAAACCGAGACAUGAAUACAUUGUUUGUUAUGUAAGACCUUGUUAGUGCUAGAUUCAGCUCUAGAUGUUUAUAACAAAGUUGUUCAAAAUUUAGUAAGCUUUCUAGAAAGUACAUAACCAUAAUCUAUGGGCAUGUGAAACUCAAGUUAUGGCUGUUUAAUGUGACAUGAUAGAUUCUGUCCAUGUUUUAGACAGAGAUGUCUUUAUGGAUCUUGAUAAAUGGUUUAUAAUUAUAAAUAAAAAUGUAAAAAUGAAAAAUGUUAUUCCAAUACAAUCCUAUGAUAUUGUUGUAUCGUGUUUAUGUAUGAUAUGGCCAUGUGUUUGAAGAAAAUAUGAUUUGUGCAUUUAUCUUGCUCUCACAUGGUUAAUUGCAAUAGCAAUUUGUCUUUUAUAUAUAUGUUGAUAUCUUUCUUCAAAUGCAGUGAAAUUUAUACAGUGGACUAUGGAUAGUAUUUAGAAGCUACUGUAAUUUUGGUGGAAUUUAUUGAGCACUUUUGUUAUAUGUUCUUUAAUUCACCUUAUUAUCCAAAUAAAUUAAGAAAGGCAUUAAAUAAAUUUAUUUGGUAAUGACCACUAUGUUUUCUGGUGUUCUUUAGUUAUGUGCAAACUGUUGGUGACAAUGGUUUUGCUCAAAUGCAUGUUUGAAAUAUAAGUUAAUAAUUAAUUGUUUGCAAUUAUUGUUUCUGGACAGUUUGUGGAACUGUUCGGAUUACAAUAUGUAAAUGAUGUUUUCUAGGAAUCUUGUUUAUAGAAAAGUUGUAGAUAAUUCAGUUAUCUAGCAGCUGUCAAAAUUUGGUAGUAUGUGGCCUUGUGGUUUGUAAGUUAUGUCUAUUCAAACUUAGAUUUCAGAAUGGUUGCUCUCUGUCUUGUUAGGACCCGAUUCUGUAAUUCUAAUAUUUCGACCUGCCAAACUUAUGAAUCAUGCUUUGAUGUCUAAAGAUGAAAUGUAGAUAAUUUCCUAAGCUUUCCAGAAUGUCUUCUUUAAUGUCUUUUGGAGUUGUGUAACUCCAGUUAUGAUUUAUUUUCUCAGUUGCUGUUAACAGUACUAAAAAUGACAGAUUCCUUGUAUUCCUGUUGCUUAGUAUAUUGCUAUGUAUGACUCAUGUCUUUGGUAAUGGCCAAGUUAAUAUACCUGAGACCCUGUGAAACAUGUAUGCCAUGUUUAGUAUGUUUAGUGUUGCAUUCCUUGUUGACUUAGCAUGUGGUUGUGAAAUCAUGAAGUUGAGCAAUGAGAUGUGCUUAAGUAUGUUUAGUGUAACCAUGCUCUUGCCAUGCUUUUUGUGUGUGAUGCUUUGUCUAUUGGACUUCUAUGUGUUUAUGCACUUGCAUCUUGCAUCUCAUUUAGGUACGCUAGAUGAACUACGUGAAGGACUUUAUGUUGGACCUAUCGGGAUGAUGGAAGGACUACACAAGUGUUGUCACCUUAGAUGUCGUCAAGACGGUGCAAGCUGACUUAAUUGACUUGUGUCGGAUUCCAGGCACGCCACGGAGCAUUCUAAGUCUCCUACCCUCUAUUUUUAUAAAAGCACAAGAGUAUAACUUCAUAUGAUGCAUUAGGUGAUAGGAGUUGAAUGAAACCGUUGGUGCAUAUAUUCCUACCUUGUCCACUAUAUGAAACUACCUGAACCCUUACCAGUAUAAAGAAGACGUUCUAUGCUUAGCUAUGCUUAGCUCGGUAGAAGCCAGGUGAUUUCCUGUCACCUGCGAGAGAUAGGUGGAAACCUGAUCACGGUUGGCUAUAUUUGCUAUCGUGGAAAUAACCAUGUGCUAAUAAUGAAUUUGAGACCGGGCGGGAUGACGAUAGUGAAGCAACAAGGCAUGGAGGUCUUGGGUGUGAAUCUAUCCCCGUCUGUGUCGGUUAAGGACCGAUUCGCUGUACGUCCUCGUGUCAUGUUGAAUGCAUGCCUACCACUUAGCUGGCUGGAUAAGUCGUUCCGACCGCGAAGCCUACGAUGCAUCUCCGGCCGGAUACCCCAUUUGGUUUAAGUGCGCACCCCGGUUGGUAGCAAGGCUGUGCGGGGAGUCAAUGGCGUAAGACCGAGGAGUCAGGUUAGAGUCCUGACCCUGGCAGAUUGGCGGUCCCUGGGGGUGCGGCGCCGUAUGGACCCGAGAAUUGGUUCGGAGUUGUGCUAAAGGUGAUCCAAGCUACUCUAGCUAAGUACGCCUGGGUGAGUGCUAGGAAUACCCCUCCAGCUGGAUAGGAAUCGAUUCGAAUCGCCGUCUCUCCCGGAUAGUGAGAACUUGACUCGAGCAGUGGCAACGUAGAUAAACUAAAUGAAACUUAAUGGUUAUGAUGAUGAUGAUGGCUACAUGAUAAACCAGAUAUGGUUAUUAAUGUGAUGCUCAUUAAUCAAGUAAUUGCUAUAGAAUAGGUGCAAAUCUAGCUAUGGUAGCUUUAUUGAACUUGAUGCUAAAAUAUUGAUUAAAAGGUUGAAAGUAAGGACUCAUGAUAGUAAUGCUCUUUUUGGAAAAGUUAUGCUAUCCAACCAACUCCACCAAAAAGCCUUGCAUAUCCUUGAGAGUCUUUUAUUUUCUCUCCUGUCGGGCAAGUCUAGCUGAGUACAUUCGAGUACUCAGGGUUUAUCCCACCAUGUUGCAAGUGAAGUCUUCAGCCUGCUAAAGAUGGUGGUUAACCGCCGGUGGGCUCGGUGAUUCCAUAUAGUGUUCUCAUCUAUAUGCUUUUGUCGGAGGAUGUCACUUAUGCUAGCAAUGUAUUUGGAACUUAUGUUAUUGUAAUCAUUUGAAAGCUAUGUCAUUUUCUAAUCAAUUUGGAAAAUCCAAACUUGUACUAUUAUUUGUGAACUCUUUUGUAAUAUUAUUUCCGCUGCAAAUCUCCAUGUAUGUGAUGUGUAUUUGCUUAAUCAUGCGAUCUUGGUGUAAAGUUGAUUUACCGAGGUCCUUCGUGACACUCGGCAGACUACCGGGUUUAUAUAAGUGAGAGUAUGUGCGUGUCAACGUGUUAAACGGGUACAGUCGUACUUAAGCUUGUAUAAAUUGGGUGGUUCUGUCACAUUAGAGACCCCUCUUAUCCCUCUCCUUUUAAGUCUCAUGAUGAUACUAACAUUCCAUUAAGACUAUCAAACCAUAGGAGUCGUAAAGACCAUGAGGAUGACAUCUCAAGUAAUGUGAUAGAAGGAGAGCUAAGCCAUAUAGAAAAUUCUAACACCUCCCCUUUCUUGAUCACAUGUUCUAAAUGGCUAGAAUGUGUAGAAUGGAUGGACAAGGAAGAAGCCUUAAUGGAUUCUGACUUUGGCUCAAUUUCAAAUGGUGAGUUCUUGACUCCCUUUGAAGAUGAGAGUCAUCCAACUACAGAAGAGGACAUAGGUGAGACCAAUCUAGGAGAAUCUCCGAACAUUCAAAUUGGAGACGAAGAUAACAUUAAUGAGCAUGGAAUUUAUUUCAUAGCCACCUCAUUUACUCCAUGCUCACAUGCAACAUCUUCCCAAUCUAUUGGUCUCUCCAACAUCACCACAUUUGAGAUCUCCAACCCCCUCUUCCUUUCUAUUUAUAAAAACUUUAAAAGGACGGUUGUCGAUGCAAUGUCUAUAAUAAAUAUUGUAGAUCUCGUUGAGUUGAUCUUGAUAUAGGUCAGCGUUGGAAGGGAAACCACUUCGCCGACAUAAAUUGAUGGUUUCCCAAGGACAAGCUUAGUGUCCUAAAAUAAGCACUGAUCAGAUCGUAACAUGAGCUUUUAAUUAUUUGCAACGUUACCUUGUGUAUUGAGCAUAUAAAGACAAUUAUAAAAAUAUUCCUUCGAGUAUUCUUGUCACUAACCUUUCUAGGAUUGGACCAAGAAGAUCGGAUGAAUGACAAGCUGAAGGUAUGUCCAACCAAACAUCAUACAACAUUGAAUUAAAUUCAUCCAAACUUUAAUUUUGCUAAAUUCAAGCUUGGGGGAGUACCUUACAUAAAACAUCCUUUGCCAUGUUGCUAUGUUGGUUGUCCCUACCUUUGUGCUACAUGCUCAAUUUGUUAAGUACUAAUCACACUACUUCAUCUCCACUUGAGUAGAUCUCUAUAAAUGUUGUCAUGCUACCUUUGUCUAUUUACUAGCAAGUGUUGGUUUGGAAGUACUCGACAUACUUCCAUUGGCAGUUAAAUUAAGCAUGGUGCUUAGUUUAAAUAGCCUUCCUCAAUCUGAUUAGACAUGGAGUCUAGUUUGGUCAUUGAACUAAAAACUGCUUGAGUAGAUAUUGGUAUAUUUUGUCGGACUAACCCCUGCAGAAAAACUUUCAAUAUCAACCUGGGAAGUCCUGAGAUAAACUCACAUUGGAGACAAAGAGAGAGACACAUGAAGUUUAACAAUUUACACAAGGAAGACGUAGCUCAUAAGAGAUGAUCCAUGGAGGGUGCCACAAACACGAUACACAACCACUACAAAUGGGAAGCUUCCACAAGGUAAGAUGGUACCAUCACUCUUCAAUUAAGGUAACAUCUUAAGAUAUCUGACUAUCACUUUUGUAAGCUUCUCCUUGGUUCUGGCGUUCACAUAAAUAAAGAAACAAACAUGUAUGAUUUAUAAGUCCAAAUUAACCAACCCAACUGAUUCAGCAUGUUUAGUCCUUUAAUCUUUGUUCCUAGUACUACCUCCAUGAUCCCACACUCCUAAUCAUAUGAGCUAAAAUGUUACACAUUCAAUCUUUGAGAGAUAUAAAGAAAAAGACAUAUACAUAGAUGGAUUAUCUCUCCAUAAGGUUGAGUGAUCUGAUCUGACAAAUGUUAUAUGUACUACACUCAUGAACUUAUCAUCCAUCAACUUUGUCUUGCUCACUAUGCUUAAGGUUAGAGAAGAACAAAUACACUUUUGGUUCUGUUGGUGUUUUCCACCAACAGGACCCAUGCACUUGAUCUCUGCCUUGUCUCUAUGAGCAGGUACACUUCGAGCAAAACAUGGAGGAGUUUUAUAACUCUCAGACUCCACCAAGUGAAGGACCUGGAUCUACGAGCACAAACACACUGAGCAGGAUGCUGCCAACGCCGCACUUCGAACUGCUGGGCAAACGAAGAACAUGGGUGACACCGUAUCAAGAGGUGCAGACGUCAAGGUACACACCUGAAUCAAAUGACGCAACUAAAGAAUGAACACGGUGAGAAGUCUUGUUCAGAAGACUUAAAACAUUGGACCCUUGCCGGAAGGUAAAAUCGGUAAUUAUCCAUAUUUAUCCUUUCUACAUUCCAUUUUCCCUUUAAUUAUUUACUUUCCUUAAAUGGGUUGUUAGUUAAUCAUGCUAUCUUGAAAAUAAAAUAAAAAUGUUAAAAAUACUAAGCCCCAUGUGAGUAUGCUCGUGGCAUAAAACCCAUAAGUACAUUCACUGUGGUGGCGUAAAAAUAAAAUAAAUAUAUUCCUGUCCUAUAGAAAUGAAAGUAUAAAAAUACAUUUAUGAUCCUACCAAAGAGAGUAAUAUUUAUUAGAGGAAGUUCAACAUGAUAAAGGCUAAGAGAUUUUAUGCUAACACUUAACCAGUUCCACAAAGCUUUGUUGUCUAUUUGAGCUCCACAGAAUUCAAGGAUCAAAGAACACUAGCAAACGGAGGACAUCCUAAUCGUUGUCAGGGUGCUGCCGACAUUCAAAUACACCUCCGUCAAAAUCCAGCUUGGGGGAGAGCACCCCCAUUUAUCUAGCUAAGUGUUUCUAAUCGCGUUUAUACUUUACUCAAAUAAUAAAAAGAUGCAUAAUCAUAAAAACCCAAAUAAAGAUUUUAUGCUUAUAUAUAUAUAUAUCUAUGCUUAGUUUGCUAAAUAAAUAAAUAAAUAAAGUUUGUUAUGAACCCUCAUGAUAAGCUCUCACAUGGAAAUGCUGAAUAGUUGCUCUGCCAUGACUAGUUCUCAAUAUUGAAAUCUCUCUCAAGUUUAGGCAUUACUGUUAUGAAUUAAGAUUUGCACUAAACCUGAACUUGUGGAAAGAGUACUUGAUCUAAAGUCUAAGUCGUUAACGGAUAUGAUAUGGGAAGGUUGAGCUGCUGUUUAUCUGUUCCUAGAGAUGCUAGAAUUCUGGAGAAUUUUAUCUUUGAAAAUCUUUAAAAUGUUGCAUGAUGUGUUCCUGUAUGAUGAGAGUUUAAAAUCCUACCACAUCCAUAUAUACAUGCUUAUUAGACUAUGAACCAUACAUUUACUUUUUACUACUUAUGAGCAUUGAGUGUGGUCAACCUAUGUAGACCCUUAGGAGCUUGUCAUGCGGUUAAAAUCAAGAUUCACUUGCACGUUCACUCAUACAUGCUGCUUCUACUCCGGAAGUACGCAGCCACAUACAUCCACUCCUUUCCAUCUCCAGAUUCACCUAAAAUUAUUCUACUCCUAUCCAGGAGAGAAUAGCCAAAAACAUUAUCCUAUCCCUGUUAUUCCCCAUGAAAUAAAUGCUCUUGAUAUUUUGGUUACUACCACUUGCUACAUUAUUCUAGGAGGGUGAGUGCUCUGAAAAAAAAAGAGAAAAAAAAUAAUACGAGGAAAUAAAAAGGGGCAAGUGCCCGGAACCUCGAAGAAAAGAAAAAGUGAGACGAGAUGUAAAAAUGGACAAGUGUCUGACAGUAGAAUUAGGGGUACAAGAUACCCACCUAAGAGAAAACAAAAAGAAAAUAUAGAGCAUCUCAUUCCUCUCAAAAACCAUCAAAGUGCAAGAAAGGUAUGUAUCCCCUCAAAAGAGCAAAAGUAGAAUUAGACUUUCACCAUUAUUUUCACCAUUAUCACCAUCAUCACCAUACACCAUUCAUCCACCACACAUGCACAUCUUGAUUUGAAUUAUUGACUUGUUUCUCUGGAUCCAUGGUUUGAUUAUGCAAUAAAUGUCUUGUAAGUAUGUAUUAGCUUUCUCCCACCUAUGAGCUCCAGAUAUCAAAACCUUGUUAGAGUAGGGUGAGAGAGAAGGCAAUAUCACUAUGCCUCAUACCACAAACACUACAUACUUUGAGAGAAGGCGUAUAUCAUCACUGCCUUGGUAAGGAUCCAAAAAUACCACAAAAGAGAGACUAGAGAGAGUCAUACAAGGAAUCUCUGAGUUUUAUUUGAAAAUCUACAAAAACCCCAAAGCUAUAGUUGAUCAAAGAACAAGAGACAUGGUGCUUGACUUGACCGUUCUAUCUUUUAACUGCUCAAGACACAAGUGAUGGUUGCAAGCCCCAUGGUGGAAGGUAACAUGAGUAAGUUUAAGUCUUAACAAUUUACCUUAACCUAGAGAUGAGAUCUUGUUUGAACACAUGUGUACCUUUAAGGCAUAAAAUCACUAUUGACGGUCCUUAAGUACCAAAUAUAAUCAACAAAAAAAUAAAGAAAAGGAUCCAAAUGUAACCAACACCCAGACUUAGGGUUUUAUCUGACAGAAUUCCACGAGUUUUGGUGUUUGUCUAUUUCUACAGGGGGUUAUCAGGAAAUAUGGAGGAAAGGCCCACAUGUCAGGUUUACAUAGAGAUAUUAACGUGCCGCGCAAUUUUCUAUCAUCUAGAAGACUCCAGAAGCCACGGGAACAAAGCGGAAGCCGAGAGAGCUCAGGGAUAGGGCGCCCGCCCAAGUCCUUAGGGCGCCCGCCCACCUAUUUCGACCAAUCACGUUCAACUUCGCGGAUUAUGCUCCACCGACCUAAAGGAUCAAGAAUAACCGUUCAAUCAAUGUUGGUUUGAUACGACGGCCUAGAUUCACUCGAGGGGACUAUAUAAGCAGACCCCCUGGCCCCUGGAGGAGGCACCCCUUGAUCAUUAUUCAUUAUUCAUAGACAGAGCAAAAGCUAGGGUUUGGAGAUGAGAGCUCUCCUCUCAUCUCUAAACUAGAAUAGAUCUAGAUAGUAGCGAGAUGGAGAGCGAGGGAGGAUAGGAGGAGAGGCCGGCCUGUCGGUUCUUCCUCUGGUUGUACUUCGUCAUGAUCAAGCUCUAAUCAAGCUUGCUCAUGGGAUGACUCUGGUAAU
Molecule: long non-coding RNA, 88229 nt
Filed under: Sorghum bicolor (sorghum)
Lineage: Eukaryota; Viridiplantae; Streptophyta; Magnoliopsida; Poales; Poaceae
Description: long non-coding RNA (SBIC_LNC008493)
Rfam family: Plant small nucleolar RNA R71 (bases 65139-65245)
Source: RNAcentral